AAUAGGGAGAAAAUUUGUAGAAGAGGGAGUCAUUUGGACAUCCUGGGAAGAAAAAUGAUCAUCACCGGCCAUGUUUGUGGUCAUAACUUUUUGUCGUUGCACCUCAGGCAGCAAAUUGAGACAUUUAUCCUGUUGAGAGGACAUGUCAUAAAUUGUAAGAGAUGGAAGAAUUCGAAGACAUGCUUAUAGAAUAACUACACAGAAGUGUCAUCACAAAUUCGCAAAAAUAGUGUCAGAAAUUCUUAAUAAAUAUUACAAGGAACUAAACCGUCAAAGAAAAGUUUUCUACAGUUAACCUCCUUUUUCUUUCCUCAAAAUACUAGGCUCAGAAUUCAGAUAGCAUGCUCCUGUUAUAAUAGUUGAAUCAUAUUCUAUAUUUUAACUUUGCCUUGAUUAUUGGAAUUGCUGUCAGAUUCAGGACAAGUGGUCUUAAUGGCGGCUGGCCAGAUGUGUGUCUAUUAGGGGGCAGACAGACUGUUGGGACAUGAAGGACAGAAGCUCCAUUACUUGGUCACUUGAAUCAAGAGGGUUUGUGGAGGUUGACUCAGUCAUAGAAACCAAGAAGUGGAACUCACAAAAUAAUGAGGGUAUGGAAGCACCUACAAGGUACAUGUCCAAGCAAGAAAGGAAAGAUUUAUAUGACUACAAUACCUUAGGCAGAAGAAUUAGGUUCGUAAGAUGCACAUUUCCAUAGUUAAAUCUAACUUCGAUGUUGAGAAGACGGCUCAUAAAUGGGGCCUUAUGUAGGAGGAUCACAUAGAAGCAAGAACUGAUUUAACAGUUUGAUUUCAUAGUUUUUCUAAUACCCAUCAAGGUACUGAUGUAAAAUUUUCUUGUUUAUCCUGUUCUUAAAGCGCAUGCAUCAAACUUGACCUGAGGUAUAGAAACCAAUAUUGGUUUUGUACCAGUGAGGGGAUGGCAAUAAAAUGAUAGUGGAUCUGGCCUACUGGGUGGUACAGUCAGGCAAACCAUCAACUGCAUUCAAGUGUAUUAAUAGAUGCAAUGAAAUAAAUCUGAAUUAUGUUUAAGAUCUUUAGAGCAUAUCGAUACUUGGGAAAAAUCAGAAAACAUAUGCAUAGAUACAAGUACAGCCAAAGACAUGCAUAUAUAUCUAUAUAUAUAGUUAAAGAUGUCAUUCAAAUUAUAGACUUUAGAAACUUCUCAUCGUUUUUUGUGAAAUUAUAAACUUUAACUCGAAAUAGAGAUUUUGGUAAAGCAACAGAAGCAUAGAUGAUUUCAUCAGUCCUAAUUGGUUCAGAGCAGACACUAGCAAGUAAAUAGUAGAUUCUGCGAAGAUUUUUUUUUCUUUUUGUGAGAGAGAGAGAGAGAGACCUGCAUUAUAAACACCUAUGCACCAUCCAAACCUAGAACCCUCUCAUUGCUAAGUAGAAGUGUAUAACCACUGGGAUAAGCCCCAGUUAUUGUAACUGAGUAAUUAAGGUAUAUGAUAUAUACAGAGAUUCAGUAUAACAUUGCAGAGCAUGCCAACUUGCUUUCAGACUAUAGACAGGAUUCACAGGAAUUACUAAGAAUAAAGAAAACUCCAUAAUGGGGGCUAGGCAUGAGAGGGACAAGUUGACAAAGUGAGACUAUGGCUAGACUUAUACUAAGAUGAGUUCUUGUUAGCUUCUUGCUUUCUGUCUUCAGGAUCGAUCAGUGUUUGGCAAAACAUAAUGUCCGAAGUCUAUGGACAUUGUUUACGGACAUACUCAAAUUUGACAGUAUUUUACAAAUGAAAUAUCUUAACAAGAUAUGCCAAAAUGACGUUCCAAGGAGCACAUCAAUGUUAUGUUUCUUGUAGGCCAACCAGACAUGGAUGUUGGCGGUGUUUAUCUUACAAAUGCUCCCUUAAGGAAGCAUUCAGAAGUGGUGAUUUAGGCUUUGGGAGAAUUUCCUUACAAAAGGGAAAUAAAGAGAGAGGUCAUCUUUGCAGGAAAAGUUGUGGAACCAAUUGAAUAGUGAAAAAAGGAUCUUUAUGAUACCUAUCUUUGAACAUGGAAACUUAAACACUAUCCUAUCAUUACUUAUUAAAGAUUGAAAGAUGCUUCUUUAACAUCAAGUGUUUCACAUGAUAAUUUUGAUGUCAUUUCCCUCUAUUUCUAUCCUUGUUUUUUGGUUUUGGGGGGGGGGGGGGGGGGGGGGGGUGCAUAAAUACGGCUUAUUGCAUACCUACCCUUUGUUGGCCAGUUUUUCAUCUUGUUCGGUAAGUACCGAGGAACUCAGGGCCCUAGGGAACUCGAUUGAUUGGCUAAGAAAGGCAUCGAGUCUCAACAGCAACGAGGUUGGUAGCACGUGUACCACUGGUGUCUGAUUAGCCGAAAAGAUGAUGGGGAUCGAAGGAAAGAUAGAGAGUAGUAUAGAUCCACGUGCCUCAACUUUCAAGGACUUUCGCCACCGUCACAUUGUAGUUCAAAGAUGGAUAAGAGAUGCAGCACUUAGCUAUGGUAAGGGUGUAGUGCUGGGCUACAGUUAAGGUGUGGUAAUAUGCAACGAUAAGGGUGCAGCACUAUGUUUAUGAUAAAAAUCUAAGUUAUAGCUACUCAUAUGGUAGAACUACUGGUAGAGUAAAACUCAAAUAAGAUAAAAAGAUGCAUUGAAUUUGUUGUUGAAAGGCCUAUAUAUAAAGUACAAUUCUUUUAUUUAUACUAAAACAAGAUGAUUGCCCACUCUGAUGGUUGCUAUCCACAUUUGGUCCCCACUCCUGAUGGCUCUAAUAACUGACACCAGUUGCUUUCCUACUGCUGCACGACUAUCAAGAUGGCUACUUUGUGCCAACUAUUAGACCAAUCUUCAUACUCUAUCGACCUUGGCUUGUAGAAUUACCUUUGGCCUACCUCUUCACGAUGUUGGCUAUCUUCUUAACCAUCUUGUAGCAUAGUCCUAUUUGAAGACAUCAUCGAGACUGAUUUGGUUAGCUCCAUAUAAUUUUUGUCCAUCUUGGUUUCUUUUACCGGUCAUCACGCUAACGUUGGGCCUUGGCUUCAUCUCUAGGAGCCACUUCUGUAUCUACCUCGGGGUGCCACAUGUGCGGCUUGGAUGUUUGUGGUGCAAAUAAUGCCCUCCACAUCCUGUUAGCUAUGGAUCAGUUGGGUAACAAAAUGUACCACACAUGCUAUCAAAGGUAUGCUGUUCAGAAAUUCAAAGCGCUCAUGCUUUUAUCAUAAUCCCCGUUGACAUGUAUCCUCACCCUUCAAACAUGGUCCAUGUGGCUUAACAAGAAAAUUUUUGGAGUAGACCACUUCCUAAUCCACUGCAAUCAAUUAGUAUCCUUCUAGGACAUGGUGUUAUGCAGCACCAGAACCUUUUCAAAUAGCUCAAGACGUCCAUCUUCCAUCAUUGUGUCCAAUAGCUCUUACUCCCUUUGCCUUCUUUAAGCUUUUCUAAUCUCAACAACAAAAUGAGCCAAGAUUCUGCCUCCCUUCACACUCUUGCGCACGAAAGACGAGGAGCUGGGGUUCUGUAAUCAAUAGAUCCUCAGGUACUGAUCCAAAAACCCCUUGGCCUUUAUUUGUUAGGGCCCGUCUUCAGAUCUUUGAUCCCCACCCCCCCACUCUUUUGUCUUCUCAAGCCAUCCCAAUGAACCUUUCCUUUACAAGAGAACGGAGUUUAGACCUUCAGUUUGGAAAAACCCCAAUCACCAUCGGCCAAGGCCUCUCAGGUGUGAUCUUUGGAAUCAAUAGCUUGACUGCAUCUCCUAGCAUAAAUCGUCUGUUUGGGGGAAACAAUCUCUUUGAUAUCUUAGCCUUCUCCCAUUCUCUCUCUAAAGCCAACCAAUCAUUACUCUUUGCCACUUCAUGUUUCUGAUAUAGGUAUUCUUUUCAACCUCAGACCAUUUGGCAAACCGUUUAGUGCCAACACUCUUGUUGAUAUUCCCAGUAAUGAUUUCAACCUAUCUCUACGUCAACAUAUUAUUUACAAUUUGUAUAUGCAGACAUUGCCAUCGUACUAAGCCAAACUCACAUCAAGAAUAUGUAUUACCUUUUCUUUAUCUGGAUUUGCAAAUACAUUCUCUAUUCUCUGUCGGUCCAGAUGGUCAAGGCCCAUCUCAGUUGGUCGUGGCACUUGCUAAAGAUCUUUUUGUAACUUUAGCUCUCCUUAUUUUAGCUUAUCUCUACCAAGAACUUAAAGAAAUCACCUCCAGACGUUGGGGAUGUGGAUUUCUUCUUUGGAUGCUCUAGAUCUAGUUGUACAAAUACUUUCCUAAGAUUUAUCCAUCCAUACCUAAUAAGAACGACAUGGUUCCUAUCGAUAGCCAAUAGGUUCAUUUCAAGGGCCUGCACCUUUCUUUCUUAGAAUACUUCCAUUUCUUCUAAGAAGGCGCUUCUUGUAGAGGCAUAUAUGUCCUAUUUCUUUCAUCUACUCUCCGAAGCCUAUUUAGUUGAUAUUUCUGAGGCCAAUAUGUUCUCCAUUGAGACCAAUGUUGAGGACUCUUAUGGAGAAACUCCUUAGUUCUCAGGAAUGUCCAUGUUGGCUCAAUAUUUGAUCGAUUCGAUCAAUAAUAAGUGCUUCAUUGAGCCUUAUUCCCCCAACCUCUUUGCUCAUCAAUUCAGUCUGAUCCAAGGUGUCCCUUUUCUAUCCUUCUACACUUUGAAUGCAUCAUUUUUUAUCAACUCCUUAUUUUCUGAGCCACAUCAGAUCAUGCGGACAGACUUCUUCUAUGAGCAGUUGUGUUUGGAACUUUGGAUAUCACUUUGUCCCUUUUGACCUUCAGUCCAGCAUUACCUGAUUAUUUCAAAGUUGGUGGAAGGCUCACAUAACUAAUAUUCAACUCCUUAUUUCAAAGUUGUUGAUCAGCUACUUAUUUCUGAGCCACAUCAGAUCAUGAUGGCGAUUCUUCUACGAGCAGUUGUGCUUGGAUUAUCACUUUGUCCCUUUUGACCUUCGGCCCAGCAUGACUGGAUUAUUUCAAAGUUGGUGGAAGACUCACAUUGUUAGAAACUAGGGGUUGAUUAAUAUGCGCAUUGGAAGAAUAAAAUAAAAUUUUCAGAAUAAAUAUGCAGCAGAAUAAAAAUUAAUUUUUAGUUACGUGAGAUCUCAUCCCGAAUCAACCUUGGAUCCCUCGUAGUUAUUAAGAUUAAGAUAAGGAAGAUCAGAUCUUCACCUUUGCGUAGGUAGUUCUUCACCGCAAUCUGAUGAUCGUGGAUGUAUUCACGAUCCCUUUGAAGCCGCACAAGCAUUCGACCUCUACAGGUAUCCACACGAGACUAUCAUCUAAUCAAAAUAUCUGAUCUCACUAAGGUGUUAGCUCUCUUGCAGAGAUCCUCUUUGAUGAUGGAUUUUUUUUUUCUGAAAAUCCUUCCCAAGAAUUUCAACCUUUCCUCUUCACAUGCAAACAGAUCAGAAAUCUUUUCUGAUCCUUUCUUGAUUUCUUCUCAAAGAAAUCUCGCUCCUCAGUCUUUCUUGAUUUUCUUCUAAAAAAAAUCCAACACCUCUCUUUUUCCUCUUUUCCUUUUGUGUGCGCCCACUCUUUUGAUGUCCAACACUUGGACAUGAGGUAGGAAAGAGGGAGAGAUAGAGAGGACACAUAUGAGAAAAGAGCACGUCCAACAACUUGGGCAUGUUCCUCUUUCAUGUUGAGAUGUGAGAUAUGGGGCGUGAGGAAGAGAGAGGGUGUGCGUUAUCCUCUUAGAGAGAGGCACGUAACAAACCAAUGCCCAAAAACCUUUUCCCGUCUUGAGAAUUUCCACGUUAAAACCCCUUUUAACGUGAGGCAUGAGAUAGGAGAGUGUGAGACCUUGUGCGCCCAACACCAAGCCCUUUUUAAUGUGACAAAACCUUUUUCACUUAAGAAUCUAGGGCAUCCCAACUCUUAGGCGCUUAGACUCUUUCUCAAAGUGGGCAUGUAAACCUUCUCUAUUUUUCUUACACAUGAAUCCAAGGAGGCGUUAGUUUUGUGGGCGUGGAAUAAGUAGCGCACACAAGAGAGCGUGAGUCUAUGGGCACCACAACUCUUAGGCACUGGAUCUCAAGGAAAAGGUGUGAGGAAUUUUUACGUGAGGAAAGGUGGGGCACCAUCUCAUGAGAAAAGAGUCUUUCUGCACGUCAAACUCUUUAGGUGUAGAACUCAAGAAGCAUGGACUUUAACCAAAUCAAAAUCUGUCUCAUAGAGUCCUAUGGUCUUUGGAUUUUGACUAUGUCAACUCUUUGGCAUAGUCAAACCUUUGACUUGUUAACCUUUGAUGUGUCAAAUUAAAUCCAACCAUCUGAUCAGACCACCCUCUUUGUAUGUGAUCCCAUAGAUUCUAUUCUAUCUGAUAGUGAGAAAUAUUAUGAUCUCCAUUAUCAAUAUCAUGAAAACUUCUUUCAAUAGAUUGGAAUAAUUUCAACUCAUCCUAUAAAAAUUAUUGACCAUCAAAAUAAUUCUCAUGUCUCACAAUCCACCAAUGAUAUCUAGCAGGAUAUAGUGGCAUUCCAACAGAACGGAAUAGAUGAACCCCUCGAUGCAGUUAUCGUGUGAUACAAUCCUAUCGCGAGUUCCAACAAGAUAGAGAUUAUGAAAUUUCUCGUCAAACCUCAUCAUCUGUAAUAUAUCAAAUUUAUUAAAUUCAAGUUUCUAAUGUGAAAACUAUGAAAAUCUUUUUCCACUAUUUACACUGCCUUGACCAAGAUCUUCUGAACUCGAUCUCAUAAAUCAUAUAGGACUUUCUUAUUUCUCAAAAAGAGAGAUUUCAUAUAAGUGCACAUUCUAUUCUUACAAUAAACCUACUGCAGCCAGCAUGCACCGUAAAGACAUAUAUAGCUAGAAGAUCAAGUGUAUGUGCAAUCAAAUUACAGUAAUCCAUUGUGAAUAGCUGAGGCACCGUAGGUCAAAAGACGAGUCACACUAUUACAAGUCACUGACGAAUGAGUAGAUAUCCAAGUGACUUCUCGUAUUGAUCACUCUCGAUACCUUUGUUCUCUAACCACCUGUACUCUUGCUCCAAUGUUCCCACUGUAAACUCGAAACUCAUCUAUGUUAAGAGGAAAGGGAUCCGUGCACCUAUCUAUUCGGAUCAAUCACCAUCCCCAUGAUGAUCCAUUGAUCGGUAGUAUUUAGAAAUUAAUCAUCAAUAACACACCUUAAAUUUUCAAUUUUUGAGAAUGUGUCAUCAUCUUAUUAAUUCUUUGGAUGAUUCAUAGAUACAUAAACAUGUAAUCCAACUGCAUUAAUAAUGAAAAUAUCAAAUACAAAAUUAUAUCCUAGAAUAAAUGUGCCAGUCUAAUUGACUUCUAGAGCAUAUAUCUAACACAACCAAUAUUCAGCAUGAACCUGCUUCCACCAUCUCAAGCCAUAACAAUAUUGGCACUCCUCUUGACUCAACAUCUUACUACGUCCUCUGAUUUGCUCCUGACUACUGAUAAAUCCCCAACCUCAGUGAAGAGCAAAGGUAUAUAUCUUACUUGGGCCAAACCUAAUAAAUAUAUUUCUAUAUAAUCAUUCCUAACCAAUCUUCACAUCUAUAGCUUUAACACCACUUGUUCGGCUGAUGUUGGAAACUAAAGUUUCUAGUUCAAAAAGGAUAAAAUGCUAGUUCACAAGUCCAAACCCACCCCUCUUCAAUGUAGUAGAAUAAGAUGCCCUAUAGCAGCAAGCGAAGCAAUGUCUUCAAAGCCUAUUGCGAUAUUGGACUCCAAAGAGUCACCAAAUGCUCCUGCUAAUACACUAUACAUACCGCAGAUCGAACCUUCAGGAGACUUAUCCCCAUCAGUUGAGUUGACUCCCUCUCAGUCUCCAACUUAUGAUCAUCCCCAAGAACUGCAAAUGCUAGGACCUUUGUCCUCUUCAUUGAUGUAGCUAGCACUUGUAAGCCUAAUGAUUUUGAGCUACUAUCCAACUCCAUCUGCAUUUUCCAACGGCAGCACUUUCCAACUCUUCGACUGUCGAUUAUGAGGUACCACUUGAUUGCUUUUGUGGCAAUACCUCUUCCUUUACUGAUCUAAUUUUUAUAAGGUCUCAUCAAUCCCUCCAUCUUCCAGUCUCUGGCUAGUGCCAGGGCCAGAUUAUUGUCUCGAUCAAUUAAUGCUCAUAUUGGCCACUUAUCACCUGAUAUUGUUGUAAAAGCAAGGAUGGCUAAAAAAGUCACUGUAGCCUAUAGCACAUUCUCACCAUCCCAAUCAAUAAGCUGGUUUCUCCAAAAAACAUGGCAAACUUUCGAAUGCCAUUUCAACCCUUUAGCAUUCGACCUACCUCUAAAUAGACUAGAUAGAUAAUUUCCACCAAAGGUUAACCAAUAUUGAAAUUCAUUGUCUACUGGCCAUCAUGAACAAAGAAGUCGAUACACUAGCCACUGGCAGUGACAAGCUCCAGGUUACGAUAUCUUUCUUGGAAGAAGAAAUCAAACAUGCCUCAAAUGCAUACAGGGCAAUUCAAGAUAAAAUGCGCACCUGCAAAGGUCGGCUUGUAUCCCUUAAAGUAGAGUUGAGCAACGUUCACCAAGAAAUACAACUUCUGGAGGAGAAAUAAGUAGAGCUAGAGAAAAAUAACAAAGAAAGAAUUCGAGCCUUAGAUGUAGCUAGAAAAUGAUUAAAAGCCUACAAAUCUCAAUUUCCGACUCUCUUCAACAAGAUGGUUGCCACCGAGCCAAUGUUGCAAGCUCUUCAUGAAUAGUGGGAGAUACUAAAAAGAGUUGUGAGAGGCCUUUAAAUAGAAGUAGGAUGCUUCCUUGUACCGGCCUCUAGGCCGAAGCUCAGUGGAUUGUACUCAUGAUGAUAACAUAUAUAAUACUAAUAGCAUAGAUCCAGAUACCUGACCUUCAAGAAUUUAUGCCACCGUCACACCAUCAUUUGAAGGUGGAUAAGGAAUGUAGUACUAGGCUAUAGUAGGGGGUAUAGCGUUGGGCUAUACCGGUAUAGUUACUCCUACUGUAUAAAUACUGAUAGAGUAAAACACGAUAAGAUAAGAAUAUGCAUUGGAUUGAUUGUCGAGAGCUCUUUAUAGAAAGUAUAAUUCCACUAUUUAUACUAAAAUAACUGCUCACUCUAACAGUUGCCAUCCACGACCGGUAUUCGCUGCUGGUGAUUCUAAUAACUCAUCUUGGUUACUUUCCCAAUACUGCAUAAUCAUCAAGAUGGCCAUUUUGUGCUAACUAUUAGACUAAUCUUCAUACUCUAUCAACCUUAGCCUAUAAAACUUCCUUCGACUUACCCCUUCACAAUGUUAGCUCUCUCCUUAACUAUCUUGCGGCAUGAUCCUAUUUUUGAAGAUAUCAUUGAGACCGAUUCAGUCAGCUUCAUAUAAUAUUCACCGAUCUUGAUUUCUAUCUUUAUCGAUUAUCACACUAACGUUGGGCCUUAACUUUACAUCUGGGAGUCCCUUCUGAUUCUACCUCAGGGUGGUGGCCACAUGUACGACAAUCCUUGGAUGUCUGGAUGUAGUGUAAACAUGGUUAAAAAAUCUUGGGCAUUCAAGAUUGAUAUUUCACGCCUUUGGCCGAGAGGACAGUGUAGAGCUUUUGGGUCCAACUAUGGUAUUAGCCCAUACUAACUGUCAUUUAUUUCAUGAUAUGCCCUCAUGCACGCAUGACUUCCUUUUUUUAAGAAACCCUAUUUUGCUUGCAAAAGACUCUGGACAGGAAGCUAUCUGCAUAUAUAACCCCCAAAUCACCUUGUUUUUACAAUAUACACCUCCUAUUACAUCUUUGUCUAAUCAUGCUAAUUGAUAACAAUUUUAAGUGUAAAUAACUUUAUUACCCUUUUGUAUGAAUAAUUUGGGCAAAAAUAUAGAUUCUUACAAUGUAGACUAAAUGUUCAACAUUCAGGGGUAUUAAUGCAAAAAGGUAAUAGUGUCAUUUUAUGCUUAAAACGUCACUUAUUAACACCAUUAGUCAAAAAUGUAAUUGGAGGGGUAUUAUUGUAAAUACAGGAUGACUUCAAGGAUAUAUAUGCAAAUAGAAAUUUGUGGAGGGUAAAUAUGCAAUAAGUCAUAUUUGCAUGGGGAUGUAUGCAGAAAUUCAUUAUUUGUACAUCUAUUGUUUGACUUAAUAUUCUCUUAAAUUCUUGAAAAGAGAUUAUGAGCUUUCAUGUUCUCUUUUUCCUUUCUAGAAGAUUAGAUGUAUAUAUAUUACAAAAUGCUUUCAACCUCCAAAUAGGAAAAAUAAAUGAUGAUUGGACAUGUCCACACUGGAUACCGCUUAUGAACUAGACUCAUGGAAAUCCAUAAUGUGGUAAAAGAGCAAGCAAUUAUAAAACCAAAAAAUAAUAAGAAGAAUACAUGUAUAUAGUUCUUAUUAGCUAAUAACAAACAAACACACUAUCUUAUUUGUUUGUAUUUGAUUAUCUAGUUGCUAUAAAGAAAUAUUUCAUUCUUUAUUAACAUAAAAUUAAAUAUGGUAGUCAUCAUUUUUUGCUUUUACCAAAUUUAACUCAUUAUCAUGUCUCAAAUUCCAACUUUCCUGUUGCAUUCAUGCAACAAAAGAUAAAAAGGUCUGACAUGCUCAUCCGCUGCUGAUGAUCCUCCAAAGGUUAGAAUGAUAGAAGGUUUCAUUUACUAGGUAAGAAGCCAAAUUUUCUGAAUUCUAAGCAAGAUAAUGAAGAAUUGAAGUUCUAAAUUCAUGGAGAAUGCAGUGUACUAUUGAACUAUGCAAAGUAAGAAGUGGGGCUUAGGUGAGGCAUAUUUUCAAAAUUGAGAAAAAUAUUUUAUGCUUCAAGAAGACAAAUUAUCCCAUACAAAAGCCUUAUUCUAGAAGUGGGGCAUUUUGGCUAAGAAAAUGGCCAGAGUGCAAAAAAGUGGAUGCAGCUUUCCAACACCUCAAGAAUUACUUGAAUCAAAGUCAGGAUAAGGGAACAACGACCCUAUAAUCAAAAGGUUAUAAAAGUUACUGAAAAUUAUGUUAUUGCCAUUGAUGUGGAUUUCGGUUAAAAUUGGUCCUCCCAAGUAUUUUUGAUAUUCUAAGUCAAAGUUGGAACCCAAUGAUCACAGGAGUUCAGCAAGACCUAAAGACUGGACUUUGAACUAUCUACAAGCCUUGGACUAAUGACUUCUGGUAAAAUUUAAGUUUGCUUAGAAAUUUGUUUCUUUCAUAGAGUAAAGAUGGUUGGAUCCUACCAGCUAUUGUUGUGGGAAUAGUUAGAUUUUGCAGUAGGAGUUAUUCCUUUCUUUAGUGAGUCAGAUCUCUUCGCUUUGCUGCUCAACAUACUUUGCUACUCUAUAUUAUAAGGGACAUGUACUAUUAUUUGUUGAUGUCUCUGCUUUAUUUAGUAUCAGAAUCAGACCAAUUUUGAUUUUCGGGUUGAGAAUUAUCUUCUCAUAUAAGAUUAAUGAUAGAAUGGUAAAAAGACUUUGAAAACACAUGAUUCUGUUGCUACUCCUAGGGGGUGGUGGGGAGGGCCCCAUCAUGUUACAGUUAAGGCAAAACAACUUACAACUAAUUCUGCCCUCCACUGACUUAUUGAUAUUAUCCUGGAUGCCACAUCUUCAUCAACAGUCCCCAGAACAUUCUGCUCCAAGCUUUGAAGAUUGCGAUCAACUCGAUAUGCUUCCGUGUAUCGAUAACGCUGAGAAGGAAAUAAAACACAUUACAAAAUCAUGACUUAUUCACAUGGAAUUAAGAAAAAGCCAGUUAUGAAAGCAUUCAAGUUUCCCUGCUCAUAUUCCCAAACCAUCUCUAUUUUGCUGUUAACUAAAAAAAAACUCUUUGAGAUGUACUUAAUGAAUUAACUAAAACUUUUGGAUGGCAUGAUUAGAAAAGCUAUAGGCAUAAUUAAGUCCAACAGAAGAAUUUCUUAAUAGUAAUGCAUUCUUGAAAUACAAGCUUGCUGAGACUAUAACGCCUGUCAAAACCCAAGACAAUAGAUGCCAAUGCCAUUGCAUGAGCCAACUUAGCACCACUUAAUGUGUUACUUAUAUAUUACAAUGUUAAAGAAACUUAAAUUGCAAGGACAUCUUUGAAACUGUUAUACAUACUACAUGGGUUUUUGGAUAGAAGAGGUCAUCUUGUUAUCUUAUUAAUGUUGACUAAGCCAAAAUAUAGGAAUGCUUAUCGGAGCAGAUCAAAAUUUAUCCAGGGCUCUUUGGUUCCCUAAACUUGCCUCACCUCCAACUCCAAUUCCUUGUCCUUGUAUUCACUUCACCUCAUGAAAUGAAUUGAUGACGCCUUCCUCUCUCUCUCUCUCUCUCUCUCAAAAGCAAUUCUAGUGACUCAAGUCAUAUUUUCUGCAUCUGAAGUUUCGACCAACUUGAAAGAAUACCUGCUUCGCACAUAACAGUCAUCACUCAGGUUGCAAAACAUACUUGGAGCCAGCUGUAACUUGUAUGAUGACACACUCUCUCUCCAUGUGGUAUCACUAGUAUAUUCUAGAUGAUGACUUUUUGCAUCUUUUUUGUUAUUUACUUUUCUUUACUUUUGUCUUAAGAGAUAAUAAACUGGCAAAUGUCGACCCUUACUAGUGUUUCUGUUAACUAUAGGUUAUUGUAUUACACUGGCAGAGAUCAUAAAAAUAGGUUUGCAAACUAUCAGAUUCAGAGGAAGAUACAAUCAACUAACCUUAAUAUUGAAUGGGUUUUGAAGGUAUAGUAAACAACAAAAAAAUAUAUAUAUUAUUCAUGAAAAUUGAUUAGGCAAAAUGAAAUCAAGAAAUUAAUCAUAAUAAUAGAAUAGAAAUCAUAUCUUAGUUUCUAAAGCAUGGAUGCUGGAGGUACAUGGAGAAACAUUUGAAUAUAUAUGUAAGAGUUAAGAUAUUACCUGGACAUAGAACACCAUAAGAAGACUACCAUAUAUUGUUGAAGGGUUUUGACAGGCAUGAUCAAAGAGACACUUGUGGAGAUAUCUCUCUUCAUCAGAAUUCCAGGGCAACUCAAUCAUUCGGUCUACCAGGUUCCUUCGAAUACAGAGAUAGCAGAUUUCAGUUACCAAGAUCUCAACCUGGUAUAUCCAACACUCAGGUUUUGAACUGCUGGAAAAUGCCAAAUAAGAUUCAUGCCUAGACUCCUCUUCCUUUGCUUUUAAGCAGUGUAACCUCUGAUAGAUAAAGGCUUCUGUAAGAAGACCACAUUCAAUUCUAACCCGAACAGCUGUUACUGCCUCACCAAGUGAGACACAUUGGGGGCCGUCAUGCUCAGAGUUUGCAUAAGUGCAAAAGCCAUCAUGCCCAGUGCACCGUAAAACGGUCAGUGCUACAUCAGGACAUUGACGUUCCAAUAGAACUUGUGCUAUCUUUGGGUGUGUUUCUGAGCCAGCAAUUUCUGGGAGAAGAUGGCUAGCUUCCUGUCAAUAAAUAUAGUAACGUUUGCAGGUUUUAAUCUAUUUUAAUCUGAAAAUAGUCCAUUAUAAUAAUGAAUAUUAACAAUAUAAGUAUUCUCUGUUCAUGACACAGGAGUACACUUAUACGAGUGUUCUCUUCGUGCUGCAAGUCAUAUACAGCUGAAUAAUGGAACCUUUCAUAACACUCCAUCUCCAUCCAUCAUUCUGUACUUAUGUGUAAAAUCUUGGGAAGAUAUUAUUGGGGGCCUUUCCCCUUAUGCAUCCACAAAUGAAAUCUCCAUAAUAUGGUCACAGUUGCCCUUCCUGUUCUCAUUCCAGAUAUGGAACAUGUUUAACUAAUGGGAAACAACAUUUUGAUGACUGAAAAAAAGCCUUAGAUCAAACUUCUAAGCCACACUUAACUUUCAAGAGAGAUGAUGGGUUCCUAACAAUCAGAUAUAGGUGUAAAUAUUCAAGCUGCAGUGAUGCAGCCCUAGGAUUAGGUCUGGAUGAAAGAGGGUCCAGGGGCUCUUAGAAAGGAUUAAUAGGUUCUCUCUCUCAAACAGAUUUCUGGAUGCUGUGGAUGAAUUUCAGUAAUUCACGACUCAACUGAAGUGCUGGAAUCACUAGUUUAGGGUUUCCUAGGAUUCUGUAGCAUAGUGGAAAGAAAAACAGGGGUUUAAUUGCUGUUCUCAAAUUCCAGCCACACCAAAUAUUUAAAAUAUGUUACAAAACAGACAUCCAUCAACCCAUCAUGCCAAGAUAGCUCAUUGGCAAAGAAAAUAACAAAACUAAAGCAUGCAAAAAGGAAAUCAAAUCAAGUGCUUAAUAAGGUUAAACAGCAAGUAUGAAGAUUGAUUAUGGCAAAAUUGUGAAAUAAAUCAGCAAGCAAGAAAAGAAAGAAAGAGACAAAAGAAGAAAAGAGCAGGGAAGAGAAGAGAUAGAGGGAAAGGGGAAACCUGAAGAAGCAGAUGUCUUUUUUUCACUUGCAAUUACUAAAAACUGCAGAUAAAACCCUUUUGUAUGAAGUGUCAUUACCCAGUUAUGUUUCCGAUAACACGGGAUCUUUGGUGGGGCAAAAUGGGGACAGACUAUUCUACACAAAAUGGCUGCCCAGGACUUGAACCUAUGCUAUUGCACUUGUUGGACCAAGCCUUUACCAUUGGACCAAGCUUUUACCAUUGCACCAAGCAAUGGCCCCUAGAUAAAACCCUAUUUAUAAAAUGCCAAAACAUAUUACUUUCCCAUUUUCUCAAUCUGGACAGACCUAAACUUCGGCACUAUUUUCCACAAAAUAGCUGCCUAACACUCAUCCUAUGCCAUUGCACUUGUUGGCCCAAGCCUUUACUAUUGCACUGAGCAAUAGCCCCCAAAUAAAACCCAUUUACAAAUCCCUAAAACAUAUUCUUCCCCAUCUUCCUAAUCUAUCAUUAACAUGCCUAGUUAUUGCUCAUCAUACUGUUUACACUUUAGUAAACAUGAAUAUUAAAGGUAUAAUAGAUUGUGUGACAACCAUAAUACUGGCUGAUGCAACAUGCAAACCAGCAUUUGAGAUUCAAUGACCCAAAUAAAACUAUUUCGAGGUUGGGGUCAUGGAUUAGCGGUUCAACCACAAGUGGGACAUGGUUCGACUAGAUAACACAAACCUCAAUUAUAGCCUUUUAGAUCGCAACGCCUAUCUAAAGUCCCACUAUUUCUUCCCUAAAACAUGCCCUCCCCUAAACUGUCUCCCAAGACAAGCCCUCCAUGCCUCCUCUAUGUCAUAAAGAAGUCAUUGCAAGUGCCAAAAAUACCAUGCCCACUAAAGGAACAAAAACAGAGAGUAAGUUGAGAUCUGUCAUAGAAUGGAUGCCUCGGUUUAAAAUUUCUAUCUAUUAGAAAGAGAAAGAUAUCUUAAGAUAUGAUAUCUAUCUUAAGUAUGUAUCAUAAACUGCAUUAUAUUUAUAAUAAAAAUUAUUAUAUAUAAAAAAUAUUAUUUAAUAAUUAUAUUUAUAUUUUAUAUUAUAAUUAUCUGUUAAAAAAUAUGAAAUUUAAUGAUAAAUACUAAUAUUUAAAAUUUAUAUUUAUAAGUAGUUAAUAAGUGCAAGGAAUGUAGAAUUAAAUAAAAUAAAUGUACCUAUUCAUCUUUCGGUAUGAAUAUAUAUGAUAAUUUGCUUUAUUGAAAAUUUUUAGAAUUCUUCUCCUAUCCUUAUUUCUUUUUGUCUUUCAAAUCUAAUAAGGAGUUUAUUAUGAAAAAUGAAAAAUUUUAUUAGGAGUUUGCGACUCUAACUAAUUCGAUCCAUCCAACAAACCGAGAUUCAUAAUAAAAAUGAAAGUUAUCGUCACAAUUUUAAAUUUAUUUCUUUUUAAAUUAGAUUUUGAUAUUUUUUAUUGUCUAUAUUAAUACGUAAGAAGGCCAGAUAAUUUUUUUCCCUAAUUUCUUGGAGGGAGAAAUUCACUUUUUUAUCCCAUUGAUAGAAGGUUCAUGAUUACUAAUAAUGAAUAGAGGUAGGAUAAAAAAAAAUAGAUCUAAAGGAAAAACUAAAAAGUAAUUAUCCAAAACUUCUAAUGCUUAUUAGAAGUAGAACUUAUGUCAUCAAAAAAAACAUCAUUCUUUUUUUUAUUAUGAUGAACUAAAUAUUUGUUUGCUAAAAAUAACUGAAUUUAGUACUAUCAUUUAUUAAUUUUUUGAAUUUUGAUUCAAAGGAAAGAAACUGUGGAGCUGAAAUAACUUACUCAGAACACCUUUUAAAGGAUUACGUGCUACAAUUGGGUCAAAUAAACCUUUAUGGAAAAAAAUACUAAGCCAAUUGGGAACCAUUGGAUACCGUCUUAUUCAAUGUUUGUUCAAUUACUCUUUUGCCCGCAAAUAUAAUGUAGGCAUUAGAUUUAGCAACAGCGACAUCUCUCAACACACCAAAACUAGCUAUUACACCACCAGUUGUAGAUGUAAGAAUUAAUACAUGGAAUAAUUUUUUAUUGGAUUGAUAAUUAUAUGAAGUGCAAGAUAUUUUAGCCAUUUGCAUCAAACUCAAACAUCCUUCUCGCAUGUGCGCUUCUCCAAAAGCACACCCAAUAAUGACAGGUAGAGAUCAAUUAGUAGCAUACUUGAUCAAACAGAUGAUUUUCUUUAAUAUUAUUAUAAUAAUAUGGUAUAAUUAUUUUAGUAUACUCCAAAUUAUUAUAGUUUAAUAAUAUAAUAUAAUUAAUAUAAUAAUGAUGAUAACAAUAAAAUAUUAUAAUAUGUCUAUAAUAGAAUAUAAUUUUCUUAUAUUAUCGUGUUAUCGUGUUAUAUUGUACUAUCAAACUGUUAUUACAAAAAUUUUGUUGACCUAUAAAUUACUUUUUAAAUUUAUUUUCUAAAAAAUUUCAUAAUCUUGAUCCAACACAGAUCUCUUGUCUAAAAAAAGAGCUUUCCAGCACAUCUCAAGUUUCGUUUUUGCCCAAAGCCCCAAAUUGGAGCUUUUUCCUCGUACAACUUUUUAGGCUUUUGAAGGAGUCAAGAAGCUAUUUCAAAACUUUUAUCCAACACCUCAAAAUCAUUCAAAAGAGCUUACGGCCUGCUUUGGCCCUCCAAAAACAAUGCUAAAUAAGGCCUUAGUCCCUUCUCUAGAUUGGAGGUCUGACCUACUCUACAUUUUUCAUUGGUCUCAAUUAUCUUCUAUUAUUGUAUUACAAUCAUAAUCACAAUCAUCAUGUAUUCUUCCAUUUUUUCCAAACGGAUGAGUUAUAUUGCAUAUCCUCUCAUUGCAAAGUCAAUCUUAAUAACUCAAAAAGUUUUCUAAUGGGAAAGAGUUGGGUAUUUCCCAUGUCUCAUUCUACCUAAAAAAAUAUAUACACAAAUUUAGAUGAAAAUUAAUAAAAUAAUAUCCAUUAAAGGGAAAAGAACUGAAGAAGCAUACAAUGAAGAAUGCCAAGCAUUGUCCUUAAUCAUGGUUCACCAAAUUGGACUGAACCACCCGAUUUGGCCUGUACCGAGCCAAACCGGUGUAGAAUUGGAUCGGUUCAAGGCUUAAAUUCGAAACAGGGGCUGAACCGACCAAUUCAACCAGGUUCAUUUUUUUUUAUUGGUUCGGUGGGUUUAAGAGACACAAGCGGGAAGAGAAGUCUCCUAACUUCUUUUCCCAUUCGUUUUCGUUUUCGAAAACAUCUCUCCCCUUCUCCACAGUACAACUAAGAUGCAAAACAAGGAGAAAUCAUCAAUUAAAGGUACAUGAGCUUCUCUCCCACCUCCCUUUCUCCUCUUCCUCUCUUUUUUGACAACUUGAAAAUCAGUGAGAAUUCAAAAAAUCAAGGACGAUCAUGCCAAGCUUUUUGAUUUUGAUAUGAUUUCAUUAUACAUGAUAGAUCUAUGGAUGAUCUACACAAUGAUACUAAAAUUAUUAAUUUUUAUUAAAUAUAUAAUUUUAAAAUUAAAAAUAUAUUUUUAAAAUAAAAAUAAAAAAAUUAAAUUCAAAAAAUUAACUUCAAAAUUAAAAUAUUUUUUAAAGGCUUGUAACAUAUUUUUGAUGUAAAUUUGAUGUUCAUUUAUCAAAAUUUUUAUGCAUCAUAUGCAUAGUGGCCUAAGCCUAAAUUUGAAUGAAAUUAAAAAAUAAAUAGCAUUUCAUACAUGCCCACUAUCUUAGAAAAAUAUAUGUAGCAUCCGUGAUAGGAUUCUACAUGAAUCUAAGAUCGAAUUAAUUUUUCAUAAUUUUUUAUUUUAUAAUUUUUAUUUAAAAAUAAUAAAAUAUAUAUACUUAAUUCAAAAAACAUAAAGAGACAACAAAAUUUUACUAUUUUUACAUAAUUACUAAACUGCUAACCUUCAAGAAUGAAUCCAUCGAGAAAGAAGCCAAAGCAUGAUAUUAGUUAGGGCCACGGGUGCUCUCGAAUCGACACCAUUGGAAAUAUAACUGGUGCAGCACAGAGUUCAAAAAAUGAAGGAUAACUGGAUUGAAAUAACACUUAACUGAUGGUUAACUCGAUAAAACUGUGCCGAAAGAGCCCAUAAGAGCUCUAUCAACUAACAAAAAAGUGCUUCACUGAUUUCAAAGCAGCGAAUGAGAGGACUUUGAAGAAGAAGAUGGAGGUGGACUACCAAAACUGCAUAGCCAUCCUUUUGUCACUCUAGGAAGUUAGAGAAAACGUCCAUUCUAAAGGAUGAGACAUAGAUCCAGUCAUCCAGUAUGCCAUUAAUGCGAGCUUGGAAGAUCAGCAACAGCUUAAGGAGUUGGCCAGAUAUAAGGCUCAGUUUGGACUGUCAGUUUAUGAAUUAUGGUCGAAUUUUGCGAGCACUACAGGAGAGUUAGAGUUUAGGAGGAUCUUCUCGAUUAGAGAGACCAUCGAUAGAGGCACAAGCCAUAUUGCUUGUAUGUUGAGAGCUUUUGGCAAUAGGAAGAAGUCCUUUAGAAAAAUUUCGGUUAGAACCACUAUCCACGACUUGAAUCCAUAUACCUUCCCCAAUAAGGAUUCCAAGCAACAGAGGGUUGACAGUAUGCUAAAGGACAAGAAAAAAGAUGUGGCAAGCUAUUCAUCCUGAUUUCACUUUAGCCAUAUCUCAGUACACACGACAGGCAACACAUUAUCACUCUGCUAUUAUAUCCAUACAGGCUACUGGUCCAAAUAUAGAUCCUUCAGAACUGAAGGACAUCCAUGAUGAGCUUCUUAACAAUAAUGAGGAACUAAAGAAUGGAUUGCAUCAUGUCGGAAUAAAUGACCGAUAAAUAAAUUGACGGUGAUGUGUGAUGGUUGGACUGAUUCUAUCAAACUAGAGAUGACAAUGGAUCAGGUUGAUCAAUACCCGUACUCAUCCCAUCAUGAAAAAUCCGUAUCCAUACACUCCCCCCCCCGGGUACCCAUACCGGUCGGGUAAAAUAAGGGCCUGAGUUAGGUCAGAUCAAGUCAAGUAUACCUACUUGCCUCGGGUCAGAUUUCACAAAAAUCCCCCAAACCUUACAACAUAUCAUGCUUCUACCAAGAUUAAGCUCUCAAAACCUUAAGGGCCCAACUCACACCGCCACAACUCGCACAAAAUUCCACAUUCUUGAGUAAAAAAAUCCCAUAUGAACCUAAGAAACCCGUCCGAUCGCCCUUAGGUACUCUCCUUCCUCAUAAAUCUCCAAAAAAAGUGUGUGAAAUGAAAAGAAAAAGAAGCAAAAAGAAAAAGGAAUGAUUGAUCUAUGUGGGAAAAGGUCUUACCUUUCAAAUUUUUCUGGCUUUCCUUUGUUUGCAUGGAUUUUUCCGAUGGUUUCCCCCGAUUUUUUCUCUAUUUUUUCCAUCCUCAAGAGUCAUCUCAAUCGGGCGAGGGCCUAAUGGCUAUGUUUUCCCCUGAUUUUUUCUUUGUUUUUUCCCAUCCUCAAGAGUCUCAAUUGGGUGGAAAGCUUAAAGCAGCCAAAUAGGAAGGUUUUCCUCUCUGCUUUUUUUCCAUCUCAAGUCUCAGCCGAGUGGGAGGCUUGAGCAGCUGAAUAGGAAAGCUUAGAUGAUGGCUAGGGUUUUGUUUUUUUUCCAUUUUCAAGAGUCUCAAUUGGGUGGGGGGCAUAAGCAACCGAAUAGAAAAGCUUUUAAAAGUAGCCAAAUAGGAAAGCUUAUAUAUACAUACACAUAUAUACAUAUAUACAUAUAUAUAUAUAUACAUACACACAUAUAUACAGAUAUACAUAUGUAAAAUAUAUAUGUGUGUGUGUGCAUACACAUAUACGCAUAUACAUAUAGGAUAAAUUACAAAAAUCCCUUAGAGAUUAGGGCUAAAUUAUACUUGUAUCCAAUAGUUUGAAAAACAUAUGCUUACCUCCCUGAUGUUUAGUUUUAUCUAACACUUUAACCUUAGUGACCUAACAAAAUAUUGGUCAAACCAUUAGACCCAAAAAUUAUAUUAAAAAAAAUUCAAAAUGAUAAAAAUGACCUUCAUAACAUGUGGUUGCUGAGGUCUUGGAAUACCUGCUCCGUGUCCCACUCCCAACUCACAACCACCUCAUCCCCCUCCUCGACCUCGCCCACCACUUCGCCGCUGCCAGCACCACCUUCUCCCUCACCCUAUCUCCACCUAGCCCAAGCCCACCUCCCACACCUGCUCCAACACUGGCUUCGCCUCCGAAACCUCUGCUGGUCCCACCACCACCACCAUCCAAGCCUGCAACCAUAAUCUAACCUAGCUCCAUUGCCAAAACUAACUCCAACUCUAGCUCCACCACCAAGUCCACCUCCUCCGAACCCACUACCAACACAGUUGCCAAGCCCGCUAUGGUGGUGAAACUAUAGCAAGGUUUGGGAAUGUGAGGUCGACGGUGAAGUAGUUGAUCCAACCGAGGAAGAAGUCAGAGAGAAGGACAGAAGCAGAGUUGGGGAUGGAUCGAACCCAACGGAGGACAUCAAGACAAAGGGAAAGGGCACAGAUGAGGGCAGCAAUUGAGGCCUAAGUGGAGAUUGCAUAUGUGCUCGACGCUGGCGAAGAGGGAAGGGCGGGUAGGGAGGGGAAGGGCUAAGGGGCAAGCAAAGGGGACAGCGGACAUGGAAUCAAGGAGGGGGAGGUUGGCCAGGGUGACAAGGACAAUGAGGGAGAAGGCGGCGCUGGCGCCAGCAAAGUGGUUGGAGAGGUAAAACCUCAUCGAGAUGGCGACUGAGUAGACUGACAGCAUCAGGUCAACGACCGCACACACCAUUGAAUCAAUGAUCAGAUGACCACUGCCACAACCACUGUCGCCAUCAUGGUCGCAUAGCAGCCAGGCAGCAAAGUCCCAGAUUUGGUUGGUGGCAAGGUAAUGGAGGAUGAAGAAGGUGGAGGCGACGAGGCGGACGGAGAGGCCACAAAGGAGGGGAAAGAGGGAAUGGAGGUGGGCAACAAUGGCUUGGUCAAAGGAGAGAGCAGGAGAAGGGGAGGGAAGAGAGUCCUUGGAAGGGAAGAAGAGAAGGAAGAAUGGUCCGUGUCAAGAGAAGAAAUGCUAAGGAAUAUUUUCAUCUUUUCAUAUUAAUGCAAAUAAUUUAACUAACACUGUUAAUUGCCUUAGGUAUAAGUGUAUAUUUUUCAAAUUACUGGGUUCAAGUAUAAUAAAAGAAAAUCUCAAGGAGAUUUUUAUACUUUACUCGUUGAUGUCGAACCAAAACAAAAGAAGAGGAAGAAGGCGAAUGGCAACACAAAGGUAAGAGAAGAAAUUUAGAACGAGCAAUCACAGAAGAUGCAUAGGAAAUUCUGCAAAUUAUUUCAAUUCUCAAUCAAUCAAGACAUGCCAAUGAUGUCUUAUAAACAUGUAUCUAUAAGCUUACAACCUCAAAGAUGGGAAGUAGCAAAAUUAAGCAACACAUCCUAACAAAAUAAAAAAUUAUCCAAAAUAAAUAUAGAAUCUUGUAAAUAAAGAAAAACAAAUUAAAUCAAAUCAACAAACUAAGAAAAUCCUAAUAAAAUCAGGAUUUCCAAUCAAAUCACCAAUAUAAGAAAAUCCUAAUCAAAUUAGCAAUUUAAGAAAAUUUUAAUUAAAUCUGGACUUUUGCCCAUGCCUAGUGUAAACGCAUAAGAGCGGCUUAGGAUUUCCAUCAUUUCUCUCCAACCGAAAAGAACUCAACUCCGAUAAGUUAUGAUGCUAGUAUGACUCCAAAAGAUCAAGAUCAAGAUGACGAAACUCCUCAACGAUUCAAGUAGCAUCAAAGAUAGGACAUUCCUUCCAGUGCACCAAGUCAUGUGUCAAACCCAUAAUCUCAUACUUAAUAACACCCUCAAUCUGCUCUCAGACUGACUGAUGAACUAGCGGAAGCUUAGGGAUAAGCGCAGAAGAAGUUUGACCUCCACCUGCACAAAUACCUACAGAUACUUUGGGAGGCUCAAAAAUAUCUCGAUAAGAAAACAAAUCCUCCAUAUUGAAAACAGGACUAAUAAUCAUAUGAAAAAAUAAAUCAAGCAAAUAAGCAUUAGAUCUCAAUUUACAAAUGAUACAAAAAAGUCCAGAGACUCUAGGAUGCAAUUUUUUGAAAGAAUAUUUAGGAUAGCGCUCAUGACAACCCACCAUUAUAUAAUCACCCUCAAAAUCCUGAUUUCUGUGCUAAACAUCAACAGCAAGUUUAUAAGUCUCAUUACUCAUCGCAAUCUUACGCCUAAUUUCCACAUGAAGGUCUCGAAUAUGGUAAGCAAAGGACUCUACAAAUUCAGAAGAACGAAAAUCAUGGGAUAAGGGUAUAAGGUUAAUGGGCUGACAAAGGACUAAACUAUGGAUAAUCUAAAAAGAAGACUUACCAGUGAACCUAUUAACAGAGUUGUUAUAGGCAAACUCAACAGUAGGCAACAAAUCCUAGUUUCCUAAUUUUUCUCCCACAAGGCAUCUAAGAAAAAUCUCCUAGACUAUGAUUAACAACCUCAGUCUGUCCAUCAAUUUGGGGAUGGAAAGCAGAUAAAAAUUUCAAAGUUGUCCCAAACAACUUUCAAAGUAUCUUCUAAAAAUAGCUAACAAACUUGACAUUCCUAUCAGACACUAUAAAAGAAGGCAAGCCAUGCAGUCGAACAAUCUCGUAGAAGAACAAUUUAGCCAUAUGUGAGGCGUCAGUUGUCUUCGCACGAGAUAUGAAAUGAGCCAUCUUAGAAAAUCUAUCCACAACAACUAAGAUGGAAUCAUGACCUCUAAUAGUUUCAGACAAUCUGAGAAUGUAGUCCAUGCUAAGAUCUUGCCAAAGUGUGGUGGAACAAGCAAUGGUGUGUACAAACCAGUAUUUCUUUUUCUAACCUUAGCUAACUGAUAAGUGCGACAUUGGGACACAAUUCAAGGAGCAUCUUUCUUUAAAGAGGGCCAAUAAAAUCGAUCCUUUAACAUGGUAUAGUCUCAUCACGCCCAAAAUGACCAAAGGCCACCAGCAUGCAACUCUCAAAUAAUAAAGUCUCUAAAUGAAGUGCGAGGAAUGCAUAGCCUAAAAUUCCUAAACAAAUAACCAUCUUGGAUGAGAAAAUCUACAUGGUCACGACAAUUACCAUCUACGAUCUCCCAGUAUAUGAGUCCAAAAUCAAGACAAAUGGUGUACUAAUCCUUCAACCUCUUAAACCCUAUCACCUGAGCACUUAUAGUAUGCAAGAGAUGUACCACUCCACUAAAUGCAUCAGAUGGCUUGUUCUUAACUCCUAAACAAUGGUUAAGAACAAAUGUAUACUCCUGGAGAAACUCAAUCCAUCGAGCAUGUCUGGCACUCAACCUUUUUGUGAGUUUAGAUUCUUGAAUGCAUGAUGGUCGGAGUCCAAUACAAAUUCUUGAGAUAACAAGUACCUCUAGUAUCUCAGAGACACACAAUAGCAUAAAACUCCUUGUCAUUGGUAGAAUACCUCUUCUUAGCUUCAUUAAGUUUUUCACUAAAAUAUAUGACUGGAUGUCUCUCUUGACUCAAAACACCUCCAAUGCCUACUCUAAAUGCAUCACAGGCAACCUCAAAGAGUUUAAAAAAGUCAGAAUGUCUCAGAAUGGAUGCCUCAAUCAUCUUUUGCUUGAUCUUCUUAAAGGUUGUGUGUGCAGCGUCAAUCCAUUUGAACUCUCCUUUCUUCAUGUUAUCAAUGAUGGGAGCCAUAGUGGUACUAAAAUCCUUAAUAAAUCACCUAUAAAAGGUGGCCAACCCAUGAAAACUAUGGACCUCAAAAGAGUCUUUAGUUCGGGCCACUCUCUAAUAGCUCUCACUUUCUUGAGGUCAGCUGUAAUACCUUACAUCGUAACAAUGAAUCUUAAAAAACAACCUGAGUCUGCGUGAAAGAGCAUUUCUGAAGAUUGACAUAUAUCUUUUCUACUCUUAAUGUCAAGAAAACCUGACGAAUGCGACUCAAAUGCACUUCUUUGAUCUCACUAUAGACUAGUAUAUCAUCAAAAGAUACAACCAAGAACUUGCCCAUGACUGGCUUUAAAACCUAAGUCAUAACCCUCAUGAAAGAGUUAGGAGCAUUAGAUAAUCCAAAGGGCAUGACUAACAGCGCAUACAACCCAUCUUGAGUUUUGAAGGCACUCUUCCAUUCAUCUCUCGAUCUAAUUCAAAUUUGGUGGUAUCCCUGGUGCAAUCAAUCUUGAUGAACCAUUUAGCCUUGAUCAAAAAGCCUAACAAAUCCUCGAACCUAGCGAUGGACAACCUAUACUUGAUGGUGAUCUUAUUGAUGGCGCAGCUAUCGACACAUCCGCCAAGAGCCAUCCUUUUUGGAAGUCAAUAGAGAAAGAAUAGCACAGAGACUAAGACUAGGCUGAACAAAGCCUUUCUCCAAAAAUCUAUCAACUUGCCAAUUGAUCUCUGCACUUUCUUUGGAAUUCAUCCUAUAAUAAGGCAAAUUGGAUAGCCGGAAUCCUAGGACCAAAUCAAUGGCAUGCUGUACAUCCCUCAUAGGUGGUAGCUCACUGGGAAGAUCCACAGGUGUCAUGUCUUUAAAUUCAUGCAAUAACUGGUUGAUCUUUGGGGGAAGGUCAGCUUGUGACUGAGACGACCCUUAUAAAACCUCUUUGGCCAUCAAAAUUGAAACAAUGCCCGACUUUUUGCCCUCUUUCUCAAAUUCCCUACGAGUUAGACGAUGGAGGCAUCUCUUUCCAACUCACUGAGAAAAAGAACUCGAAUCAUGUGCUCUAAAAGAACUCAAAGCGUGCGAAGAGGUACUGGGUGUUGGAGUCCCACGUGCCAUCUUCUUAUCCAACUUAGAGGAUUUGGUGGGCUGAAGUUGUAUGGCUUUAUCGAAGUUGUAAGGCUUUACCUUUAAACCUUUACACAUAAGCAUUGUCUUGCUCAUAAUGAGUGACGGUUAGAUUAUAUAACCAGGAUCAACCUAACAAGACAUGGGAUAUAUCCAUAGAAAGGAUGUCACAUCAGAUAUUAUCCGCAUAAUCAUCCAUCUGUAGAAAAACUAAACAUCGCUUAAUAACUGGCAAGAAAGUCUUAUCAACCCAUGCCACUCUAAAUGGCUGGACUUCAGCUUUCCAAGAGCCGACUUUGAAACCACAAUCAUGCAACUCCCUCCAUUAAUGAUGACUUUGCACACUAUCUCCCCACAUUUCAAUAAGUGUGAAAAAUGCAAGUGCGCUUUCAUUCAUCCGUGCUCAUGAGGCAUACAAAAUACCUCACAACCCCAUAAAAUUUAUCAUCAUUGCCUUGUCCUUAGUGUCGUCCUCGUACUUGGAGACAUGCUCCUCAAUCUCAAAAUCCUAGAUGUCAUCCUCAGCUGGCAAGUUUUCAGUAUCAUGAUCAAAAGUCAGAGUACAAUGAGGACAUCGGAUUGCAAUAUGACCCUUGCCAUAAAUAGUUAUGGCACUCAAUGUCACAUAUAUUGUGGUGAGGGUUAGUAAAUGUGGCAUCUCUACCCUAGUAUGCUAAGGUCCUCUGAGCAAGACUGUUACUUUUCCUAAAAGCAACAGGGCCAAAGAAAAUAUUCCUAGUGACUCUAGACCAAAAUGACUCCUCGACUUGGAAAGUCGUGUGCCUCUAAGUGGAUGAUCUCUAAGGCCUUGUGAUAGGCUUCCUGAAAAGAAUAAGUUGAAUAGAGACUAACCUCCCUUUUAAUUUCUAACCUUACUCCAGUGAUAAAUCGAGUGACCAACACCCAUGUUUGCUCAAUGAUAUCACAUCUGAUGAGCAGCUCCUCAAACUUAGACAAGUAUUCAGUCAUACUAAAAGAUAGUUAUCUAAGUGUGAGCAUUUAUUCCAUCAAUUGAAUCCUAUAAUAUGUGGGGAUGUACUUGUCUCUCAAUUUCUCUUUCAUUUCAAUCCAUUAGUCUAUAGGAUCUCAUCGUAGAUAUACUAGGUUCAUCUGCACUCCAUGCUGAUACCUCUUGGCAGAGCCAACGAGCUUCAUUUUGACAAAACGAACUUGCUAACCAUCGAUCAUAUCAUACCACUCAAAGAAAUCCUCCAUGUCUACUAACCAGUCUAAGAAGGUAUUGGGAUCUAGUUUACCAUCAAAACUAGGGACCCCAACCUUUACCCUCUUAGUGAUGUCCCCUAAAUUAUUAGGAUAAUAUCCCAACUGGUUGUGGGGGUAUCGAGAAGGGGAAUGCCUUUACGGUCUCUGAUGAUUUCCAUCAUGGUGCUUAGCAUGAAAAUUUCGAGGCCUGGGAUAGGCUCUUAGGUCAUCCUCUAGAUAAGAUUCCUCCUCUUCUAUGUGUCCUAACUCAAAUGGGAGUCCUCUGUGAUAAGCAACUUGAGAGGGAUUUGAAUAGGGGCAAAUCUCCUUCCAAUAUGUAGUGCUCUACCCCCCUAAACAAUAAGAGUUCUAGCAUGGUGCAAUAAAGGAACGACAAGAGUAGGUAGCAAGCCUAGGUUCGCAUCUAAAGUCUGUAUGGGGUUAUGCCUGUUACUUGUGCUACCAACAUGCUCAACAUUCAAGAAAACUAGAGAGUUACCCAGAGUAAUGUUUACCUAAAGCAGCUUAUAAUUGGAAAAAUGGUUUAAUCAUCUUUUUUCGAAAUUGGUCCAUGGAUGUUUGGAAAGUAUCAAUUUUAUGUUCAAGGAUGUCGACCCACUUAUCGAACGCAUCUUAGGUGUCAAAGAGAUCUCGAAUGGUCAUGAUGAUUUCAAUCUUAGCAAUAUAUGGUUUGAGAAGUUCUGGUGAACUAAUAUAAAAUUAGUCACAAAUUUCAAGUAUGGAGAAAGCAUACCCUGUGUCGGAGUUUCAAGGACCCAAAAGUGCAUAUUUACUUAAAAUAGAUUCUCUCUCUCACUCUCUUGGCCGGUCGGAUUCAGAUCUAAUGUCUUAAACUGGGUUGGAUUUGGAUCUGAUUGUGGGUACAAAUCUGGAUCUGAGUUUGGGUCAACCUAAGCAAUAGCGACAGCAAAGGAAGAGAGUGGGCCUUCCAGAUGCGACGAGUGUCCAAGAACGACAAUAAGUCGAUUAUCAGUAGUGGAGGCUUGAAUUCUAGCAAUGAAGGAAUGAUGGACACCUUCUGAAAUUGGUGAUGGCAAUGGUCAGAGCUAUCGAUGAUUCCGAUGGUGGCAAGGGUCUGGAGUUUUGUGGCAGCGAUGGUGGUGAGUUGUUUAUGUGAAGCAAACGACUAUGUUCUGAUACUAAUUGAUGCCAAACCAAGAAAGAAGAAAAGGAAGAAGACAAAUGACAGAACAAGAUAAGAGAAAAAUUAGAACAAGCAAUCAGAGAAAAUGGAUAGAAAUUUUUGUCAGUUAUUUCUAUUCUCAAUCAAUCAAAACAUGCCAAUGAUGCCUUACAAGCCUGUAUUUAUAGACUUACAACCCCAAAGAUGAAAAAUAGCAAAAUUAAGCAGCACAUCUUAACAAAAUAAGAAAAUAUCCAAAAUAAAUAUAAAAUCAUGUAAGGAAAAUCAAAUCAAAUCAAAUCAGUAAUUUAAGAAAAUCCUAAGCCGCCCUUGUGCGUUUACAUUAGGUGUGAGCCGCAAAUCCAGAUUUGAUUAGAAUUUUCUUAAAAUGCUAAUUUAAUUUGAAAUCCUGAUCUGAUUAGGAUUUUCUUAUAUUGAUGAUUUGAUUUAAAAUCCUGAUUUGAUUAAGAUUUUCUCUAACUGCUUAUUUGAUUUGAAAUCUUGAUUUGAUUAGGAUUUUCUUAGUUUACUGAUUUGAUUUGAUUUAAUUUUCGAAUUCUAUAUUUAUUGAGUAUUUUUUAUUUUAUAAAGAUAUGUUGCUUAAUUUUGCUACUUUCCAUCUCUGAGAUUGUAAUUUGUAAGCAUAUAAAUACAGACUUGUAAGACAUCAUUGGCAUGUUUUGAUUGAUUGAAAAUUAAAAUAAUUUACAAAAUUUUCUAUCUAUCUUCUCUAAUUGCUCGUCCUGAAUUUCUUCUCUUACCUUUAUUCUACCAUCUGUCUUCUUCCUCUUCUUCUGUCUUGGUUCAGCAUCAAUUGGUAUCAGAACAAAACUACAAUCUACAGUCGUUGUUUGCUUCAUAUAAACAACUCACCACUAUUACUGCCACAGAACUCCAAAAUCCUUGCCACCACCGAAAUCGUCGAUAGCCCAUGCCUAGUGUAAACACAUAAGGACGGCGUAGGAUUUCCAUCGCUCAUAUAUAUACACACACACACAUACAUACACAUACAUACAUAUGUAUAUACAUACGCACACACACACAUAUAUACAUAUAUAUAUCGAGUCAGAUUUGAGGCGGGACAUUAUUUUCCAUACCCGACUUGAAUCUAAAACCCAUACCCAUCCCGACUUUUAAUUCGAUCGGAUACUCAAGGAGUCGGAUGAGAUUGCCAUCCCUAUAUUAGACAGAGCAUCAACUUCUUAACAUAUUGUAAUAGGAAAAUAUUUUUUUAAAAGUCCAUUGAUACUUCAGAUUAGGUGCAUGAUUCCAUGUAUAUCCUCAGAUUAAUGGAGGUGAUCGAUCAGACAAGAGAGCAAAAUAUCAUACAAAUUGUCACCACCAAUAGCCUACAGUAUGAGACCACAGGGAAGAUCUGAUGCAGCGGCAACCACGUAGAUUCUGGAUAUCAUGUGCCGCACAUUGUAUCGACCUAAUAUUGAUGGACAAUAGGAAGCCUAGUAGGAUGCAAAAGGCAGCGAACUCAGCACGGACUAUUAUUAGAUUCAUUUAUAAUCCUAUCAUUGAUGCAGAGGUAUACAAAGGGAGACAUAUUGAGAUCAGGAAUCACACAGUUCGCUACAAAUUAUACAGCAUUUGAUAGCCUUAUCGAUGAGAAAGUACACCUACUCAGAUGUUUAUCAGUCUCGAGUAGCAAAAGAGUAGAUAUGCCAGCACAGGCAUUGAGGAGAGCAAUGUAGAGAACUUAGUACGAGAUAGACAUUUUGACAAUGGAUUGAGAACAUAACAAAGGCAAUUAAGCAUUUAUAUGACGUGCUUCAGAUAAUGAACAGUGAAAGAUACCCCCAGAUGGGCUUUCUAUAUCACAUAAUGGAGAGGACAAAGGAUCCGAUCAGGUCGGUGAUCCGAAACGUGCUCAUGAGUGCAUCCAAAUCAUUGAACAUUGGUGGGACUAUCAGAUGGAUAGAAACUUGCAUCUAGUAGAUAAGCAGCAAAUCAAAAAUGCUCUAAAAAUUUGAUUGCUCUUAUAUUUGUACAAGAUAUUUAACCAAUUUUGAAAUAUAUUUGCAGCUUACUAUUUGAACCCGAGAUUCCAGUACACGAUACUAAAGAUAGAUAUAGAUAACGAGCAUCUGAUAGCCCUACGAAAUAUAAUAUAUUAGAUCGAGUCCGAUGCCAAAAUUACAGCUAUGUGCCUAAAAAAAGUUAGGUUGACUGAUUUUUGUCAACCUAUAUCUUCAACCAAUAACACAUUAUAACAAAUAUAUUUUUAUAGAUGAAAAUAUUUAGAGAGAGCAUCGAAACCUUGAAGCAAAUGUGAUGAUCAUAAGCAAAAAAAGGAUUAGUCCAAAUAGAUUAUAAAUGACCCACGACAAUCUUAUUUUUUUAUUUUGUUCAAUCUCAAUGCUUUGCAACUAAAUAGUGGAUCCAUUUUGGAUUGGCAGCAAUAAAUAUGAAAUGACUUGCCAUCCGGAUCCUCUCCCAAAUAGUCUCCUCGAGUGUUGUAAUUGAUCGACUUUCGCCCCUAUCUAUAGCAAGCAGAGGAAGCAUUUGACACAAAUGCUUCAACGAUCUUGUAUAUAUUCAUUACAAUCUGAGGUUGAGGCUCAAGUGCAUUCAAUAGAAAGAUGAGCUGAAGUACUCGAAUUCGACUGCAAGUGACUUUGUUAAUUAUGAGGACUAAUGAUCGGAUGGUUUGCAUGUCAACAGCAAGAGUCGGAACUUAAUAAGCUAGGAUAGCCUACACCACUAUUCAGUUUCAUAGCUAGCAAGGUUGGGAUAGAUGCUAAGCAAUGUGCAACUAGUCACAUUCUACGCAGGCUUCCAGCUAAUCAAUCACAACAUCCAUCCUCACAAUUUAGCCAGGCAGAGCGAGGCACGACAUGAGGACAGGUAGCUGCUCAAUGUACAGAGAAAAAAAAAAAGUUGUAGCCUGGUGAUGAUAAGUAGGAUUCUGCAAAUUAUAGGCGAAGACGUAAUUUAAGAAUUUUAGGAUUUUGAAUAAUUAAGGGAUUUUAUCUCGUUUCCAUCUUAUUUGAGAGAUUUUAUCUCGUUUCCAUACUGAGAGAAAAUCUUGUUUCUAUUUAAGAGAGAUUUUAUCUUAUUUCCAUUUUAUUUGAAAAUUUUUAUUUUAUUUUCAUAUCGAGAUAUGAUUUCCGCUUUUAUUAGGAUGUGAUUUCAUUAUCUUAUUUGAGGGUCUAUUUAAAGAUUCCUACUGUAUUGAAGAAGACAGCUUUGAAUGACAACUUGAAAAUUCUGAAGUGAGCUAUUUUUCUUUCUCUUAACUUCUUUAUUUUCCUUUGGCUAUUUUUCUUCCUCUUGAUUUCUUUAUUUUCCUUUCCUCUUUGCUAUCUUGAUUUUUCUUGAUGCCGCAUCAAAUUGGUAUUAAAGACCUAUCAGAUCACUUUCUGCCACCAUGCAAAUUGCUUUGAGGUAAUUGAUCUCGUCUCGCAUAAGGUACGGUUCCUUCAUUGAACCUUGUGACUUCUUCAAAUUGUGGAUAGCUUCCAUGAUUGCUUAGGUCCUUUAUUUUAUUUCAUCCCUCUCUAAACCCAAAAAAAGAAAAAGAAAGAAAAGAAGAACCCUAAUCAUUUUGUCAACCUCAUUUUGUUCACAUUUAUUUUCAGUAGCUCAGUUAUAUCACAACAUGUCUUUGAUUUUGCACGAGUUAAAAAAAACAUAGGCACUACAUUUAAUUUUACAUUCCUCGUUGUGAGCAUUGCAGUUGAAUUUCUUUGUGAUAACAACAUAUAUCACUUUUGUCCUUGCCCUUCCUUGCUACCAUGACCAUUGAUAAUUUGAAAGAUGUUUAUUCUGUUAUGAAAAAAAAGCUUGAAUCAGUUAAAAAUAUCCAAACUGCAUUUCAAGAGACUUUUAACCAAAUAUGCCAGUCAUUGGACCGACUUCAAACUGAGCUUAAUGAGCUUCGCACUAAUCAAGUUGAUCGCCGUAUAGACAUGGCUAAUCUCAUCAGUCAGCAAGUCAAACACCAACUGUCCUUGAGAGAGUCAAGACUGAGAAAAUAUCCUCCAAAGGAUGACCAUACUAGUAGUCAACCCAUUCAUCAAUCUCCUUUUCAGACUCUUAAGCCAAUUGGUGGUCCGAGUCAUGUCUUGCAAACUAGUCAGUCCUUUCAAACACCACUAAUUUACAUGUCAGUCCCUUCAAUUUUCCAUCAUUCCAUAAACAAUUUUCAGAGUCCUCAUAAUCAUAGGAUUCCUCCAGAUUAUAUAGCACAAGUUAGGGAUGAUGAGUACUAUGGAGAUGACUAUAAGGGAGAAGUAGAACAGCCUAUUUUCCCAUCUAGAUGUCAUGAGCAACCUACAAGGUAUGCUCGAGGCCCUAUGAAUGGGAUCCACUUGACCUCGAACUCCCAAGAUAACCCACCUCCUAAGAUUGAGCAGUUGACAAAGGAGCCUGAGGAUGUGACCCAGAGGACAUACCAGAUGGUCAAAUAGAGGUUGUAAACCAUAGCCUUGGUGAUUUGCUUAGGUGUCUAGUUAGCGAUAGACCUGGUACAUAGGAUUUAUCAUUGCCUAUGGUAGAAUUUGCCUAUAACAACUCGAUGAAUCAAUCUAAUGGCAAAAGCUCUUUUAAAAUUAUUCAUGACCUUAAUCCUCGUCAACCCAUUGAUCUUAAAACCCUUACCUAUGGAUAACCAUAUUUCUGAGCCUGCCACCUCUUUUGCUCAACAUAUUCAUGACAUUCAUGCUGAUAUUCGACGAAAAAUUACUACAAAUGCUGAGAAAUAUAAACUUGCUGUUGGUACUCACCAUAGGAAUGUAGAGUCAAAUGAGAGUGACUAUGUAAUAGCUCCUAUUCAUCCGGAAUGUUAUCCCAAACGUUCGUUCAAAAAAUUGCUGUUAGUACUGGUUGCACUACAUUCUCAGUGCGAGUUCCAAUUCUUCCUCCACUUCCGUCGUCGUCACGGGACCACAUUGAGCGCAUUAUCAUUAACGAGAUUGUUUCUUCUGCUCAAGGCAAAUUUCAAAGAUUUUGGUUAAGUGGCAAGACCUAUCAGAUUCAGAUGCUGCUUGGAUUCAUGAGGAUGAGUUACACCACAUUGAUCCAAAUCUCUUAGAGGCCUACCGCAAUUCCUCGCCAAAGGCGAGUUCAUUCCAGUCAGGAGGAAAUGAUGAGAAUUAGGAAUUCAGCACAUUUUUGACAGAGACGUCAUAAUUUAGGAAUUGUAGGAUUUUAAAUAAUUAAGAGAUUUAUUUGAAAGAUUUUAUCUCGUUUCUAUUUUAUUUGAAAGAUUUUAUCUCGUUCCAUAUUGAGAGAAAAUCCUUCCAUCUUAGAAAGAUUUUAUCUUGUUUCCAUCUUAUUUGAGAGAUUUUAUCUUGUUUCCAUAUCAAGAGAUAUGUUUUCUACUUUUAUUAGGAUGUGAUUUCAUUUCUAUCUUAUUUGAGGGUCUAUUUAAAAACUCCUAUUGUAUUGAAGAAGACAACUUGAAAUGACAACUUAAAAAUCCUAAAGUGGACUAUUUUUCUUUCUCUUGACUUCUUUGUUUUCCUUUGACUGUUUUUCUUCCUCUUGAUUUCUUUAUUUUUCUUUCAUUUUAUUUUUCUUUCCUAUUUACUAUCUUGAUUUUUCUUGGUGCCCACUCACCCGGAUGGAGUGUAGUCAGUUGAUCCAAUUCGCUCAAAUUCAAAGACCAAACAAAGCAGUGAUGAUAGUUUUUCUGAUGAUCAUGGAUCUGAUAGUCAGGAAGGGAACGGAGGACGAGACCAUUUAUAAGAUGAUCUUCGAUUUACUAGUGAAUCUCAAUUAUUCAUGCCACACAGGAUGGGGACCAUGGUGUACAAACUGAUAGAGCCCAUGGAGAUACGAUUGCAUACAAACAAUGGGCGCCUCAAGAUCAUUCAAGAUACCAUGCAGCUGCAGAUGAUCUCGCACGUGGAGUUAGAUUCAUGAACAUAUCAGAUUCAUUAUCAUAUUUGGAUCCUCUUAUCUGCAGCCAAGAUAGUUAUGAUCCAUACGAAUAUGCAUAUGAUGCAUCUGAGGCAUCGUCUUCUAACAACUACCAUCCUAUAUAGUCCGAAGCAUCUUACAGAUCAGAUUUUGCUAUCGACAUAUUCGAAUGGACCCCUCCACAGCCAUACUAUCAGCUCAAGGACAUCUCUCAGAGCUAGAGCUUCAGCAAUAAAUCUGAGACAAAUUAUAAUCCCGCAUGCAUACCUUAUGAGAUAAGCGCAGAGGGCUACAAUGCUGCAUGGUUAGAGGGAUGGACUCAUGUUCCUAUGAUUAUGUAAAUGAUCUACAUAUUUAUUAAUGAUAUCAAUGCUCGACGAGAUUCUAAAUUCCAAUACGUAUUGAUUAUUUAUUUUUUAUAUAUUCAAUUGAUUUGAACAUUUUAGGAUUCAACAAUAUCUAAUCCUUGUAAAGUUGUCCCUAGGCUACAUGUUGAAACUUGCAAUGCUAUUCCCCUUUGACACAACAUCAAUAUCAAAUUCAAAUCCGCAUCACACAUUUAAUCCCGAAUGUAUCGGAGCGAUACAAACGUCAAAUAACAUCAACAAACAUCAAUUUGAGCUUAAAAUCAUUCAAAAAAUUAUGAAAAGUUAAUUAGAUAUUUUAGAAAUUGAAAUAAAAAAUAAAAGAAAAGAAAAAAAAUUGGCAUGUCGGUUUGACCAACAUGCCCCACCGUAUCAAAUAUCGGUAGAGUACAAAGCCGAUCGUUAAUCAACAUGGAUGCUGGUAUCAAUUCAUCCUUCCUUGGUCCUUACGAAUGAAUUCACCCCCUUUAAUGCACAUGAUUCCAAUGAAGGUUCUCAGUUUCGAUAUCGGUGGUCGUUCCAAUUGACCAAUGGCACGGUCCGAUAUGAUUCCAUACUUGAUCGAACCAGUGCAAAUCGACAAAGGGAUGAACCGAGGAGAAAAAGAGAGAAAGAGAGGAAAAGAGAAGAAAAGGAAGACAAAGAGAGAGGGGGAUCCACCGGAGAGGCCGCCAGAGAGCCUCCGACUGGCCAUCAUGGCCGUCAGACAGCGUAAAUAUUGCCUGCGGCUCCGCGGCGUGAAACAGAGACGAUCGCCCCUGUUUCACGGGCUUUUUUUAAAAAAUCCGAUAACAGUGAAACCGACAAUAGGUUUGCCAGCUUUCCUGUUUCUGAAUUUUUUUUAAAAAAAAUUAAAAUAGUAAAGCCGACAAAUCGAUUGCCGAUUUCACUGUUUCUAAACUUCUAAAAAAGUUUUUAAAAAAAUGAAACCGACAAACCAAAUACUGGCUUCACUGUUCGUCUUCCUUUUUAAAAAACUUGCAUAGGGGCGAUCAUCCCUGUUCCGCACCUGCGACUCUGCCCGUGCCACUUCCGCCAUCCGAUGGCCACAACGACCACCCAAAGACCUCCGCCGUCUCGUCCUCCUGACUCCGACAACCUCCCCCUGUCUCUCUCUUUCUCACUCGUUGCGACAGCCCUAUCAGACGAACCGAGCUUCCACGAGCCUUCGACGGCCACAGAGGGCCACCACCGACCUCCUGCAACCUCUCCCUCUCCUCCUCUCUCUUCUUUUGUUUCCCUCUCUUCCCCGGCACCAACGUGUGCCGUUUUCACUAUCGAAACCAUCCCGAUUCCCCACCGAUUCGGUUCGGCACACCCCAAACCGUCUGAUUCGGGACGGAUUUAAAAACAAUGAUUCCAAUAAUCCUCUCCAAAAAUACAUGACCUAUGACACAGAUACUAGGCUUGAUAAUUUUGUUCGAUCCACCAAGUACCCAAUCAAUCCGAUCCGAAUGAGGCAGAUUUUAUCCAAUCCGAUUAAAAUCAAGAGCGGAUAUAAGUUCCAGAAAAAAUCAGAAGUGAGUUCAGAUCAGGUACAGAUAAUGGUAUGCCCCGUCCCAAACCCAACCCAAUUAAACUCUUAUAUAUAAAGGCCUAACACAAAGCCCUUGCCAUAAUCUACGCUUCCCUACUCACUGCUCCACUCGAACCACUCCAUGCUUCCAUUCCCUAGCCAUCGUCUAAGCUUCCCUAUUUGAACCUCCCACCCAACUGAAACUCCUAAGGAUGGCAAACACAAAGACCUAGCCAUCGACCAAGCUUCCCUAUUCGGCCCUCCCACCCAAUUGGACUCCUAAGGAUGGAAAACACAAAGCCCUAGCCAUCGUCUAAGCUUCCCUAUUCGGCCCUCCCACCCAACUGGACUCCAAAGGAUAGAAACCACAAAGCCCUAGCCAUCAUCUAAGCUUCCCUAUUUGGCCGCUUCAAGCCUCCCACUAGAUUAAGACUCCUAUGAACGAAAAAAAUAAAGGGAAGAUAGAAAAUUAAAAGGUAACAUAGCUUGAUCAUUUUUUUUCCCUUUUGCUACUUCUUUUCUUCAUUUUAUUCUCUUUUUCGAAGAUUUAUGGGGAAGGUGAGCACCUGAGAGGGAGAUCAGAGGCCCAGAGGGUUUUCUCAAUUUUGUGCGAGUUGUGGUGGCGUCAGUUGGUCCCUUCAGAUUUUAAGAGCUUAAUCUUGGUAGAAGUAUGAUAGUUUGUGGGAUUUGGUGGAUUGGUGAUCAAAAGGAUUUUCUUAGGCUUCAAAAUUUUUAUGACAUUCUGUUCUCCUAAUAAUAUGAAUAUGAAACCGAGGUUGAGGGAGAUGGGCCUAUGCCUCCAAGGCUUCUUGUCAAGUAAAGGGAUGGCUUCAGAUCUCAACCAACAAUUCUUGCAUUCUUUGAGGGUAUGAGAGAUAAUGGAUGGUGUGAGAUCCAACCCAAUCCGAUUUUAUUCGACCAAAUUCGAGUUAAGACAGGGAUACCCAACCCGCCCUAACCCACACCCUCAAUUUUACCUGACCCACGAUAGGUAUGGGCUGGGUACAAGUAUUGGUCGACCCGACCCAUUGCAAUCCCUAACAGAUACUUCCAUAAUAUAGCCGUGUGCAUGUCUGAUACGUAUCAGAUUUAGAUACAACCUAGAUAAGCACCGAUAUGUGCUAGAUACUUCUUGUAAGUAUCCAUCUAUUUUUAUUCAAAAAAGCAAAAGGCAUUGGACGAGGUGAGGAUACAUUUUGAGUACAAUUUGGACAAACCCUAGAAAGUAGAAACUCCUGGGAUUUACCGAGUCAUGGAUUAAAUCAAGUUCGUCAAGCAACAUUUUGGCCCACAAUAUUUAGAGGUGCAAAAGACACCUAUGUGUACCCUAAAAACGAGAAAAUAGCCAAUUAACAAAAAAAGCAAGGAAACUUAUAACUAUAAAGUUUCUAUGAAGUACACUAUAUGAUAUAGUUACAUAUGCAAAAAAAAAAGGAUUUUGUCCAAUUCAUACAAUACUUCUAUCCUAUUUUUCUUGAUUUGGAAUACAAUGUUCAUGUAUCAUGUCAUAUUUGUUUCCCACAUCCAUAUCCAUGAUUGGUAAAAAAAAAAAUCAAGUUUGCAAUUGCUCCUCUAAGGUACAUUUAAAUGAAUAUCUACAUUUAAGGUUCACAAUACCGGCUUUGGUACCCAUAUUGGUAUCAUUCUAGUACAGUAUCAAUAUGGGUCGGUUCACGGAACCAACACUCAAUAUAUCCUCUAUCCAGGUUUUGGUUUGCUAUUGGCAUGGUACCGUACGUCUGGUAUUGGUUGGUAUAGUCUAGUACAAAUUAUUACAUAUAUUUUUGCCUAUUAGGUGUUGCCUUUCUCCUGAUGUAUAACCUGUUAAGAGAAAUACCCUUCUUAUCUUUUACUUUAUUUUCCGUUACAAUUUAUCCUUUAUUAUUUUUGGAUGGGAUUUUAGUUUGACUUAUUGGCCUACUUCAAGAGCCAAUGGGAACUUGUUUUUAGAGAUGAAUUUGUUGGUGGGUAUUUGUUGAGAACCGAUCAUGUCUAUAUUGUGGUGGAUGGAAUAAGAUGCAUAAACCCCAUUUCCUUCAACUACUCUCCACUUAAAAAACCUAUCUUGGCAUUAUAUAGAUCAUUCUAUGAUAGUUCCCAUUCCUGUGUGAUUAUUUUCCUGCUAUGUCACUUACGUACUUCCUCUCUACUAUUGAGUUCCUCUAGGGCUGGGUUACCUUUUAUCCUGCCUCUUACCCUGCUUAUUGGUGGCUAGAAUGAGGCUUGUUUUAUUGCACCAUGGUUCAUAUUAUGUAUGCACAUCUGUGUAAGUACUUAUAUAUGUAUGGAUGUAUAUUUAUCCACGAGACCCAGGAUUCUAAGGUAAAAAUGAACAAAUAACAUCUCAAUAUUUGCAGAGAUGCUUCUUGUUUCAUAAAAUUUGUGUUUCAAAAGAUUAAUGAUCCUUUACUAAUAAAAUAUUGAUGUUAUGAUGCAUGUGUGGCAUAAAAAUAAUUAUGCUACCAAACCAUCAAAUCAACUUCUAAAAAUGCAAGUCCUGACUAGAAUAAUUAACAUAUAUCAACAACAACACAAACCAGUUCAUAUCUAUAGAUCAAACUAACAAAAUAAGCUUGAAAAAAACAAAGUACCUGCAGUGCUGGAAAGGUAUGAUCAUCCAGAAGAUAAAAAACAAAAGACUCAAGCAGUGAGUGCCUGGUUAUACCAAAAGAUGCAGCAAAAUCAUCAACUAAAUAUUUCCAUUCACCAUCAGGUAGAGUCCAAUGUCUAUCAAACAGAUAGUAUAAGAACUGCAAGCAAGUUAAGGAAAAAUGAGGGAAGCACAUAAGCACCAAUAUAAAUAUCACAACUGCAAAGCACAUAACAGAGGUCAAGGAUACAAUUGCAUGUUUGCAGACCACCAUAUCAGAAGUUCCAUGUAAAAACAGUACAUCAGUAGCAGCUCGCAAAUUUUUAAAUGGAUAACACCCAUCUUUAUUGGCCUCAUCUAUCUUGGAAUGGAAAAGCAGCGGGGAAUUUUCAUCCUGCAAGAAAGUAAUAUCCACUUCCUCUUUGCUUCUCUCCAUAUAACUCUGUUCCAUCCCAAGAUUUGAUAAUGCUUGCUCAAUGAAAAGUGUGAAACCACUUGACCUCACAGAAUCUGCCAAAUUGCUUGGAAACUCAGGCCAUGACCUAUUAACUGCAGCUGACUUUCUUUCUUGCACAUGCAGACUCCAUAAGGCAGAAUUAGAGAAACGUGACUGUACAUUCUUAAGAAAUUGAUGCCUUGUACACCAAAUCAUGACCUCCAAGUGCUGAAGAAAAAAAAGACAGUAUCAAAAUACAUUACAACAUUUUAUGUAGAGGUAAUGGCAUAAAACUAGUUAUACAUUUGCUCCAAACACAAUAUCUGUGAACAAUUUCAACAAUAAAAAAUAAUCAAUGCAUUAGAUUUUUGUCAGCAAUCAAGAGAGGAGAGAUUCUGGCAUGAUCCCUUUGGCCUUCCCGUCACUUGUGCAUGAUCCCUUACUCUCAACAACUAAACCAUAUAUGCAAAAGUGAAACUCUGUCAAUGAAAUGAACCAUUUCUUUUUUCCUUUUAAUAUUCUAAAGAAUUAGGGUUCGAGGGACAGGUAGUAUUGAAUAAUGUAGAGCGCCAAAUCUAAACGAAAGCAAUGGAAUUGGUUUCAAUUUUCAAACUCAACUUUCCAUAAAGAAAGAUGGAGUCAAGGUUGAAAAACUCUAUAGGAUAGUUGGAUGCCUUGGCACACUAUAACAAUAGAUUUGCAACUAUUUUUUCAUAGGAAAGCAAAGGGACAAUAGAGAUGAAGAGGCUUGAGAUCUUGCAAAAAGUUAACAAUUUAAAGUCAUCAUAAGAUCACCUCGUCAAAUGUUAUGGUGCUUGGCAUAAGAAUGAUGUUGGAAUGGUGUCUGGCACAUGAUGUUGGAGGCUCCACUCAUACUCAUACAAGGACCCUUCCUAGGCAUGUUCUCUACAACCAUGAACAGCUAGGAUUCAAUCAAUGACCUCCUUAAUCAACACAUAAAACGAAAUGUUGAAAUUAGUAGUUAGACCAACAAGUUUAAGAAGGGGUUGGAUUGGGUCUAACUAGCCAAGUACAAGAAAAUUUGUCCACGUGUUAAGCUGGGGCAAUCAGGGCUAAUCUUUUCCUUGCAUCUCUCCAUUUUCAUCUCCAUUCCUCCAAAUGGUUCAAGAAAAAAUGGUCUACUAUUUCUGAUUGAACCAAACAACUCAAGAAGCCACACUUUCUUUUUUGCACAUAAAUUCAUUUUCUCCUCUCCCUCAUACUUGCAAAGAAUUACAUCCUUAGAUAAAUGUUACUAAGUCGAGUAGCUAGAACUUCACAUCAAAUUAUGGAUGGAAAAUGUGUGACAAUAUAAUUUUAAAAAAGGAACCAGAUAUGUGAACAUACAGCAAGCAAGAGCAUAGCCUAUCAAUCAUAAAUAAGAGUGAAAAGGAGAGAAACUGAAGAGAGUAAAACAACAUUACAUACGUACGAGCCAUUUCCACGUCAAAUAAGAGGAUAGAAAUGUCCAAAAAAACAACAUAAGGCUAUAAAUCAAUUUUCAAGCUACUCUCAGAAAAUUUGUUUCUUUUCUAUUUCUAGAAUGCAACAAGAUAUAGGAAGGCAUGGUAUCCUAACAUGAAGAAGUCGAUAGAAAUUUGGUUUUGACAAUAUACUCAUGGCUGCUGUUAGUCAAGUAGGAAAAUGAACCUGCUUUGCCUUCAAUGUGUUCUCCAAAAGGUGAUGCAAGUCAUGAAGCUGACCUGAAAAGGUCUCCUUAAAUGAUGAAUACAUAACCUCAAGAACAUUAGAAAUGCCAGUUAACCGCAAUGCCAACAUUUGCAACAGAGACAGCUCAGAUUGCAUUGUCUCUAGAUCAUGUUUAUCUAUAUCAUUGUCAAGCCAUAACCUGUAACAUUUCCAUUAAAACAUUGAUGCACAUUUACAAACUGCUAAACUAUAUACUUCAUGAAAGGCUAUAACUACUUUAGGAUACAAAUCCCAUGGAGAUCAUGAAUGAUUUUCUUAAAUGUUCGCUUGCACCAGUCCUUCACAACCACUUCAUCCAAAAGAAAAGCAAGAACGGGAUCACUUGACACCGCAUUCUCAUCCAUACAGACAUCUGAAACAUCUGAUGAAUUUGUAAAGGUAACAACUGGAAAAAUUUUGAAAACUGGAAAGCAGAUAAAAUGUGAAUGAGAUAAGCUUAUGAGCAUCUACACCACAAUUUCAAGUAAGAUAAAUGUUAGCGAAGGAUACAGUGGCAAAUCAAAGAAACGAGAUUGUUUUCUAAUGCAACAUCAAACAGAGAAUAUAGACGUUCAAUAUCAGCCAUUAUAUGCUCCCUGCUGUCUUCCUUUUCUUGAAAUCUGUCAUCAUCUCGUUUGGAGAUAAGACCAGCCUCAAUGCAUUUAUUAUAAAGACGAAGUCGGACUCUGGCUCCAUUGUUUGGUAUUGAUGUUCUACAAACUGGGCAUACAUCAUAUCUCUGGCAGCAUUCUGCACAUAAAGAGGCAUGCCCACAUGAGUCAAGUACAUGUUGCACGUAGCGUCCACAGUUCCUCAAAUCUCUAGUUGCUCGGCAACACUCAAUUUUUGCUUCAUUGCAUAGUUCAAUUAGAUCCAUUGAUGCCAAGUGCUCCAAUGCAUCCUGUUAUUAGAUAGCAUAAUCACAAUGACAGUUCGUAUAAGGAUUUAUUAGUAAACAAACCAUUUUAUUUAUGUAAGGUUUUAGAAAACAGCUACUGCAAAAAUAUUUCAGAAUACAUUUGUAUGUAUGUACAUACAUACAUAUGUAUGUAUACAUGUAUAUACAUAUCUAUAUAUAUGUAUGUAUGUACAUACAUACAUACAUAUAUAUAUAUAUGUAUGUGUGUGUGUGUGUGUGUGUGUGUGUAUAUGUGUGUGUGUGUGUGUGUGUGUACAUACAUAUGCAUGCAUGUAUGUAUAUGUGUGUGUGUGUGUAUACAUAUAUACAUACAUACAUACAUAUGCAUACAUGUGUGUGUGUGUGUGUGUACAUACAUAUGCAUGCAUGUAUGUAUAUGUGUGUGUGUGUGUAUACAUAUAUACAUACACAUAUACAUACAUAUACAUACAUACAUACAUAUACAUACAUAUACACAUACACAUAUACAUACAUAUACAUACAUACAUAUACAUACAUACAUAUACAUACAUAUACAUACAUACAUAUANNNNNNNNNNNNNNNNNNNNGUAUGUAUAUGUAUGUAUGUAUAUGUAUGUAUGUAUAUGUAUGUAUAUGUGUAUAUGUAUGUAUGUAUGUAUGUAUGUGUAUGUGUGUGUGUACGUGUAUAUAUACAUAUAUGUAUAUAUAUAUAUACGUGUAUAUACACAUAUAUGUAUAUACAUACAUGUAUAUGCACAUCUACAUACAUGUAUGAAUGUAUGUACAUACAUACAUGUAUGUAGAUGUACAUAUACAUAUGUGUGUGUGUGUGUGCUCGAGAAAAUAAUCAAAAUUCUAAAGAUAAAAGGCCAGACAAACAGAACACGGGGGACACAAUCAUGAGGAAAUACAGCCCUGGAUCUUUUAACAAUGUUAGAGACUUAGAGUGCAAACUAGCAACAUCACUGAAGGGUUAGAAUCUUGGCCACAUGUUGCAUCUCAUCUAUGUCAAAGUGGACAUAGGAUUUGGCUGGAAACGUAAGUGAAGAAGCUUGAAUUAACUAGUUCACUUCUUCCAUAUAUAAAGUUUAGAAUAUAAGUGAGAAACAACAUCUGUAUCAAAGGAUGCUUAAUUGUUUCUUCAUUCUCAGCGUCCCAUAACUUGAGAUUUGAUGCCAUCAUCCCCUAGUCACAGAAACUGCUAGCUCCCUACCACUUGGAUGGAUGGACAAAUGCUCCAAUCUGAACAUCACAAUGAUGAUUUAUUGGCUCACCUCCAUUGACAAGGUAAGCAAGGCAGCUAGGUAUCCCCUAGUUGAUACGGACCCCUUACUGCCUAGUCAAAUAGGCAGACUGCCUAAUUUAGGUAUCCCAAUUUUUGAAAGACCAUGAAUAAAUAAAUAAAUGGAUCAAAAUUAUUGCUAUUAACCAUAUCUUUUUCUGGAUCAUAAAGACAAAUAACUAAACAAACCAUUAUAGGAUAUUAGGGGAUAAGAUUAACCAAAACCAAGAAACGUUUUGAUCACAUAUAAGUCCACAAGUCACAGUGAUUCUGUCAAAAACAAAAUAAGGACAGGUCAAACAAAAGGUGUAAAGAAAACAGAAAUAAUAGACGAGAAAAAACAAAUUGAAAACAUAUAAAGGAAAAGCUUGAGAGAGAGAGGGGGGAGAUGAAAAAUGACUAGAGGACAGUCAGUUUAUUCAAAACGCAGGAGGGGGUGUGUGGGAAUGAAAAAAGAAAAGGGGAAAGAAAAUGGAUAAGAGAACCUAAAAAGCAAGAGGAAAAAAAAAAAGAAGAGGGUGAAGAGUGAGUUGAUCACCGGGAUUACACUUUGAAGAUCAAUGCACUAACAGAACCAAAAUGAAUUGAAGAACGAACCUAUUGUUUGGUGAAGGAAGUUAUCUCCAAGAAAUUCUAUUAAUAUAUCAAAAGAUUAUGAUGUAUAAUAUAUUAGAUACAUAUAUAUAGAAGAUGAUCCUAUCCUAAUUCGGGCAUUAAACCCCGUAAAAAAUCAUACUUGAAGUAGGACUCAAUAAUAAGGAAACAUGCUACAGAUAUCCUAGUUAAAACUCGAUAUGGUUUUCAAAGGAAAACUAAUGCAAAAAUCCAUAGGUUAAAAUUCAAAGUCUUCGCUCGCGAAUCCACUAGCUCAUGCAAAGUUUGGCAUGGUCCAAGUGGUCAAAGCACUUGCUAGCUGCAUGUGUUGCACCAGGAACUUGGGAACAUGAGGGAUGAAAGUAAGGCAAAAUUGAUACUUGUUUAGGAGCCUUCGAGCAGACACACGACUACCAACAAGCCUGCAAAACUACUGGAGGUUAUUUAAAGGCUGUUAGAGACCACCUGAUAGGUAACAAAUUGGCAAAUAUAGGACUGCCAGUGGACUGGAGGGAUUGGUUGCCACUUACCAAAGACUUUUGAUACAGAGAUGUUAGGUUGGGUGAAAGAGGAGCUUAGAGAUUGUAACUUAAGUUUUCAUUUACAUCAUUUCACCUUAUGUUGAGAAAAAUGUACCUCAUUUUAGUUGUAAUAAUGAAAAAAAAGAAGAACUUAGUAGCAAGGUUCGCUGGACCUAUACUAGCUGUUGUACUCUUAUCAUUACAGACUUACAGUACAGUAUGCCUAGCAUGGUAUAGCAUACUCCCCAUACUAACAAAGGGUUGGGAGAUCCUUUUCCUUAUCCCCAACCAUGGUGUUGCCCGAAGCACCAUAGGAUGGGCCGAUGCAACAAGAAACUAGGAAGAACAGGAUUAGUUUCGCUCAAUAUAAGCUAGGUCGACCCCUAUCCCACAUGGAAACUCAUCUAUUACAAUACGAUACAUUCGGUAAAAGGUAGACUUGUUGACCAAUGACUACGUGGUUGUUACGGGAUCAUACUAUCUCGACUACUGCCCUCGGGACUCAUCCUCAGACAUACUCUUCAGAUCAAUUGAAGUACCGAGACAGACUCUAAACGAUGAACAUCAUUUGGAUGUUCUAGCAACAGAGCAAACGGCUUCACCGGACUUCAUUCCUGAACAUCAUCCUCGGCCACAUGUCAAGGACACCAAUUUUGACCUUGUAAUCGGCCCAGUGCCGACGACUACGACCGACAACUCGUCAAUGCCACCAUGGAGAGCCAAAAGGGGAUGAUCCCGUCGGCUCUUGUCCGACCUCCUGAAGCGAGCACCUACCAACCUCGAGGUCGGAACCUCGCCGACCACGCAGGAUGAUUUCUCAUGACCAACAUCGAUGGUAACAUAUCCGGGCCAAGGCCUUGGCUGUGUGCCGACCUCAAAGACCCUCUAUAUAGCGGCCUACAACUCCUCUAUAUAAAGAGAUAACUCGAAGACCCUUGAGGUAAGCUCAACUAGAGAAAAAAAAUGCCUUUUGCGCUCUUGCCCUUCUCUCUCUCUCCUUUCUAUUGUUCUCAAGCUCCAGCUAACUUGAUCAUCGGAGGAUCCCUCGCCGAAGAAUCCCUGACGUGUGUAGACUUCUCUUGCAAGUCACUAUUAGCAUCCCUGUGCUUGAACCAUCCUCCAUCCUUGGCCACAUCAGCUUCCACUGAAGUCCUGACGCAAUAGUAGUAAUUUUAACAAUUGUGCCUAUUGAUAUAUGAUCUUUUGAAUUUUUAUUGCUCUUGAUCAUUGACAUAUUUGAUAUAUCAUCUUUAGAUCAAAAUCAAAUAUCUCUACACCAAUCUCAAUAGCAAAAAGACCAUCAUAACACCACCAUCUAAAUCAUCACUAUGACCAUGGUUCACACUACCAAUUCUGGUAAUCGUACCAGUACUAUGCUGGUAUUGGUACAGGUUAGUUCAUGUUAUCAAUACUCAGUACCACUCCACACUGAAUAUCAAUUUGCCGCCAAUACAGUAGGGUAUGCUCGAUACCAAGCGAUAUGAUCUGAUAUAGUAAACCAUGAUUAUGACACAACCACCCCAACCACCACCAUAGUUGGCAUUAUCUAGAGUCAUCUUUGCAUAAGGGCUCUUUCUACAUGGAUUAGUCACCCUACACUAGCCCAACUACUAACCCAUUCUCUCUUAGUUUGACUAAUCUCAGCAUAAGGGCAAGUUGUCUUACUCCCAGUAGUAAAGGUCAACCAUAUAGCAGUAAUAGGAGACAACUAUCUAUUGUUUGCUACCUUAUUAACCUUAUUAUGUUUAGAGCUAUGAGACAAUGUCUUUUAUGUCAAAGCAACUAGGGAAAAAGGUCCUAAUCUUUGGGCAAGCUCUUGAAAGUAUUUGUUGAUAGGAUAGCACCAACUUUCACCUCUCCAAUCCAUCAACUGAAUUCUAUUUAAAUCAGGUAAUGCUCUCCCCCCCCCCACAAUUCUUCUGUACACCGGAUUUGGAAUAUGAUAAAAUGGGUUCUUGUUGUGAUAGUCUACCUAUCAAAGACGACUUCGCCAUAGGAUUUUUUGCACUGGUGUAGAAUCAACAUGGCUGGAUCUGUUGUCAUCACAUAUCAAUUUCUAAACACUCAUCACAGCUUUUCUAAUAUCAGCAAAUUCUUUAAUCAUACUAUGCUUUUUAAAUGUCCACCAGAUUUUUCUUCUAUUGA
RNAcentral lists this long non-coding RNA (44975 nucleotides) under Elaeis guineensis (African oil palm). Its description in RNAcentral is "long non-coding RNA (EGUI_LNC040129)". The record is from RNAcentral. Lineage: Eukaryota; Viridiplantae; Streptophyta; Magnoliopsida; Arecales; Arecaceae.